This 61771-nucleotide long non-coding RNA is filed under the name Vitis vinifera (wine grape). RNAcentral's name for it is "long non-coding RNA (VVIN_LNC001485)". The record is from RNAcentral. Lineage: Eukaryota; Viridiplantae; Streptophyta; Magnoliopsida; Vitales; Vitaceae.
AGAGAGAUAAGAGGAAACAAGAAGAAAAGCUUAUGGCUGUGGUCAACCCAAUGCGGAACGCAAAGAGGAAAUUGAGGAUUGCAGCCAAGCAUCGAGCUCACAAGAAAAGGAAAAUAAUGACAAUGAAGAUGGGGAGAUGGGUUCGUUAAAACUCGGAAAAGAGCCUUUUGAUUGUGUCUAUAGGUUGCUUGUGCUCAGAUGAUGCUCUUUUCUGGCUCCUUCCCUGUCUUCUGAGUAGCAUAUAUAACCCUUCACAAGUACUCUGCCUGAUGUACAGAUGCAAUUGGCUGCAAAAAUCCACAAUGGAAGGCAUUCACUCAUUUUGCCAGUAGAGGGAGCCUACAAAAUGGUGUGAGCUGGCUGCAAUACCCCCAUCACUCUAUACCCCCUUUUUUAGUUGUUAAUUUCUGUAAAUAUACAAAAAUAUGUACUCAAAUUCAAAUACAAAUUCAAGUUCUGAGGAAUAUUCUUAUGUAUCAAAAUUUUGGUAAGAGGUCACACAGAGGUUAGGGUUGAGGUUCCUUGCUUUGCUUAUUUUAAUUAUUUCAAGUCCAAGGGUUUAAUGCUUCUUGUCUUUGAAUCUUCAUUUUUCUUUUCCUUAUGUUUGUUUCCUGUUUACAUACACAACAAUAUAUGUCAUUAAUUUAUUUUGUGAAAUAUAGUUAACAAGUUCUGCAACUUAAAUUAAGUUAUUAAGCCAUUAAUGAUGGGUUUGAUAAAUUAAUUUUAUGAUUUAAUGGUUUAAUUUAAGUUUUUAAGUAUGUCAAGCAUGUUUUGUAAAAUACUAUUCUAUAAAUCAAGUUAAUAAUUUAAAGUGGUUUAAUAACUUAAUUUAAGUUAUUAAGUAAACUGAGUAUAUUUGGUAACAUAAUUUAAUGAUAAAAACAAUUUUAAGUACUAAGUAAAAACAAUUAAUUUAUUUUAAAAUUCAUAUUUUUCUUUUUCUUUUUUACUCUCAUUUAUUCUAAUUUUAUUCACUAUAUCUUUUGUUACUCUAUGAUCUUUAUUGUUAUUUGACAUAAUUUUACUCUAAUUAUAAUUUAUGAGGGUAAAAUUGUCAAUUUGAUGAUUUAUAAUAAAUUUUAAAUUAAUUUUAUCAAAUAACAAUUAAGGAAUAAGUUUUAAAUCAACAACUUAAGUAUAAUUUAACUUAAUGUCAAUUUAAAUAUUGUAAUAAUAUAUAAUAUUAAAAAAAUUUAAUAUUAAAAUUUUUAUUCUAUUUUUUUAUUAUUUUAAUAAAUUAAAUAUGAACAUAACAUAAGAUAACUCAUUGGAUAUAAAUACCUUAAGAGAUUAUUUUAAUAAAAUCAUAUUGAAAUGUAAAUAAUAUCUUAAAAUUGAUAUAAGAUAUAUAUCCUAUUUGAGAUGCAAACCUUAAAAUAGAUAUAUAUAUAUAUAUAUCCUAUUAUAUAUCUUAUCCUACUAUAUACCCUCUGUUUCUUUAUUCUUCUCUCUUAUCGUAACACUACAAUUACCGCAUAGGGCAGGACAGAUUGUUCAAUUUCCCCUCUUGACUGCAUGGGUUAUGCAUUGCAAAUUUGCCAUCAAAGGUUCAACUUCCAGCCCCAUUAAUUUAAUCCAAUAUUAUUUAUAUAUUUUUACACUUAAAAAUUCUUUUUUAUUUUUACUUUUAAAGUCUGAACAGCCGUUUUAAAUUAAUUUAUUUUAAUUAUAAAAUAUAAUUAUUCCAAUUCUAUUUUAAUUUAUUUUUAUUACUGAUCAUUAUUAGUUUCUGCUUUCAUGGAAAGUUAAUAUUUCCUAGUCUAACGUUAACUUUCCAUGAAUGCAGAUAAUUGUUUUCAUUCUAAAACGUGCACAGUACUGGGAGAGAGAGAGAGAGAGAGAGAGAGGGAAGGAGGCAUGAGAAAGGGAGGCAAGAGUUGGUUGAAUUUGAAAUGGGUUGAAAGGCAGCCCAUGAAGGUAAAAAUAUUGGUGGGUGUACUGAUCCUAGGGUUUUGUUUAGUGGGUUUGAGGCAUCUCAUGAAAUAUGACAAUGGCUUUCCUUUGUUCAUGGCCUCCCAAUUCAUCCAUCUAUCUGGGAUCAUCAUCCUCAUCUUCAAGCUCAUCAAAACCAAGACCUGUUCUGGUACUUCCAUUUUUUCUUCUGCUUUUUACUUUGAUCUUAAUUUCAACUAUUUGAUUGCUGUCAAUUGUGUUAUAUGCUUCUUCUUAUUAUUUCUUUUAUUGACUUGUUUCUUAUCAUUGUUUAAAUUAUAAUUUGAAUGAAUAUUUAAAAUUAUAUUAAUCUUUUAUUUUGUUACAAAUGAAAAUAAAAUAAGAAUGAUAGGGAGGCUUACAUUUCUCAAUGAUUGACGACUUUUUAGAGAGAAAUAAUAGGACCUUUCUUAAAAAUAAAUUCAUUGAGAAAAAAGUUGGAAGUAAAAAUAAAACUAAUUAUACAAAUAUGUACAAUGAUUAAAAUUAAAACAUUAGCUAGACUUAAAAAUUAUUUUUAAAAUAUAUUUAAAAAUAUUAAAAACAAGUUAAAAACAUUUUAUGUUUUCAAACAUACUUUUAUUUUACAAAAUAUCAUAAAAUAGUUUUCAAAAACAGUUGUCAAACAGAUUCUAACUCUUCAUCCUUUUUUGUUCACAUUUUAACUAGAAUACCCUCAUUCUUUUUCUUUUUCUAUAUUUUGUAAAAAUAAAUCUUUCUUUUAAAACUUAUAUAUAAAUAUUUAAAAUAGUUAUGGACAUCUAUAUUAUAAAUAACCCAAAUAAAAUCCCACUUAAAACAACGCUUAUAAAAUAAGUGAAAAUAAUAUAAAACAUCUUGUUUUUUGUUCUUAAAGAUAUAAAACAAAAAACAGUUUUUGGUUGUCAAACGUGUUUUCCUAUUUUUUUUUUUUUUUUUGUCGUAAGAACAAAAAUCUAUUCUUAUCAAAUAAGCCUUUAAAUUCCUAAAAUUGAGUUUUCAAUAACCCUUUUAAUCAAAUAACCCUUAUUUAAAUACAUAACUCUCAUGUCCCAAAAUAAAAAUUUAAGUGUCAAUUAAUUUUUAAAAUAUUUAUACAAUUUUUUUUUUGGAUAAAUAUUAAUUUAAUUUUUUGAUCAAAAUAAAUAUGUACUAAGAAAAAUUUAAGACACUUUCAAACAUAAACUAUAUCAUAUAUACCAAGUUUAUAUGACAUCUUGUGAUGACUUGAUGAGAAUAAUUUAUUUUUUUAUCAAAAUAAAUAUAUUCUAAUAAAAAUUUAAGGCACUUUCAAACAUAAAUUAUAUUGUAUAUACCAAGUUUAUAUGAGAUCCCAUGAUGAUUUGAUGAGAGAAUAAUUUUUUUUAUCUUUCUUCAAACUUCGUUAGAGUUGAGUUUGAGUGAGUAAGUGGGUUAACAUGAAACCAUCCAAUAAAUGAGAAAAUAGAGGAACAAUUUUUAAAGGUUAUAAAAUUACUCAAAAUUGUCACUAUUAAACAAACAGUUUUUUUUUUCAUCUCUCUAGGAGAACUCUCUUUUCCUAAAAACCAGAAAAAGAAAAAAUGUGUUUCUCUUCCCUCCCCAAAAACAAACAAAGAAUACAAUUCUCUUUUUGAACAAACAAAAGUCUUUUCUCUUGAUUUUUUUUUUCUCCUAAAAGUCCGAAGGUUAAGGCUGUUGUAUUGUGAAAAAAAAAUGUUCUCUUAAAAGUGAGAAAAAUGAUUAGUGAAACAAUCACUUGGGAAUCUUGGGUAUUUCAGAAGGUGAUUAAUGAAACAAUCUCUAGGGAUUUUUGAGCAUUUUAGAAGUAACCCAUAAUCCGUAUUGUUUUGAAUGAGGAGUGUUUUUGAAAUUCACGUAUGGAGCAAGUAGAUUAUGGGAUAUACAUAUAUAAUUCCUAACUCGAUCUAGUAUUGACUUCAGGGCUUUCCCUAAAAAGUCAAGAGCUGACCGCUAUAGUCAUGGCAACAAGAACAUAUUGCAGUUUUGAAGUAGAAGAGCAUGGUUUAACACUACUAGGCUCUGCUAUAUUUCUUUCUACUCUUUGGGUCAUUUAUAUGAUCCGCUUCAAGUUGAAGCCUACCUACUCUAAGGAACUCGACAGCAUGCCCCUCUAUUCUAUGGUAAUUAAACCCCCCACCACCCUCCAUCCCCUUGCUUUAUUUUCUCUCUCUCUCUCUCCAUGCUACUGUUUGAACUUUCAGGUGGUGCCUCCAGCUAUCCUUGCUGUGCUAAUCCAUCCUCAUAUCGAUCACAGACUCCUCAUCAGAAUAGUUUGGUCUUUCUCUCUCUACUUGGCCGCCGUCUCUGUGCUUCCUCAGCUUCGUUUAAUGCAGAAUGCAAAGGUUAAUUAAUUAAAUUUGUUGAUCCAUCAUCCAUUGAGAAGGUAAAUUGAUUCUUUUCAUCUUUUCUUCAUCUCCUUUCAGAUGGUGGAACCCUUUACCGCAUAUUAUGUGUUUGCAUUGGGCGUGGCAAGAUUUCUCAACUGUGGUUCUUGGAUCAUUCAUGUGAGCAGCUUUUCCACCUCUUUUUUCACACUACAUAAAAUAUUAUCAAUAUAUUUUCAAUUAAUGUCAUGCAGAUUUAUGAGACUGGGGGACGGUAUUUAAUGUUCUCCGGCAACUGGACGCAGUUGUGGGUUCUGAUGGUUAUUCUCUCAGAAUUUGUUCAUACCUUUAUCUUGGCUGAUUUUUGUUACUAUUAUCUCAAAAGGUAACUAAUUAGACUUAACUUUUCAAAAUACUCAUCAAUAUCAAUUUUCAGUCUUAAGUCUUAAGUCUUAAGUAGCAGCAGCAUCAUGAUCAGUGAUCACUAAUUGGUUGAGACUUUGUGAUUUGUAGUGUCAUGUAUCAGCAGCUGCUUCUGGAGCUCUCUUCAUCCUCCUAUUCGCUUGGAAGGGGAAAAAACAUUUGAUGUACCCUAUUUUUUUUUGGCUAUAUUCUUUGUUUUUUUUUUCUUUUUUAACUCUGAAUUUACACACCUGGUGGAAUAGGCCGUUGGUUAUCCAAAUUUUUUUCCUUUUUUUUUUCUUUUGAACUUGAUAGAGAGAUUAAAAUGCUUCUUAUACAUAAAUGUUAAGAGACAAUUUUUGCUAUAAGGUAAAGAAAAACUAAUAAUGUGUGGGUCUAAAGUACUUAAAGCUUGUAAAAUUGGCAUCAAGUUCUUAACAUAUUAAUGGACUUUAUACCUUUCAGUAUUGUGAACUAUGUGGUUUAGUGGUUUCAAGGGCCAGGAUUUGACUAUAAGCCUUAUAUAAGUCCUAUCAACCUUUCUACAACCCUUAUAUACUUACAUAUGUCAUUCUAAUAGAUUACACAACAACCUUGAAUCGUAAUGGAGAAUAAGACAAUCUAAAAAAGUCCUAUAUCAAAAUGAAUGGAACAAAAUUGCCAACUUAAAUUACAUAGCAUUAUAUACCAAUAAUCUCUCCUUUUUGCAAUUUUGUGACAAAAUAAAGAUUACAUAAACACUCCAAUACUCUUAAUCAAAGUUUACAAGUCUCUCAAUACCUCUUGUCUCUCGUCUAAACCAAUUCAUUAUGUAAUGUGCAAAAAACCAUCCACUGCAUCCAAAAGUGAGCAAUACUCUAAUACUUGAGACCUAUACACACCAACCAACCACAUAUCCAUGUCAAGCAAAGUGUGGAAAAAUAGCUUAUAAAUUCCAUCCAAUCAUGGUAAAGAGAAAUGGAUGUGAGUAAUGCAUGUAAUGGAUAUUCAUAAAAUUAAUAAAACCAAUGAUGAACCAUCUGCCAUUUUUUUGUCAAAAAAAAAAAAAAGAAGGAAAAAUGAAUAAGAUAAAACAACAAAAGAACGUAAGAGAGAGAGAGAGAGAGAGAGAGAGAGAGAGAGAAAUAGAGACAAUGAAGAAAAAAGAUAUUAAGUACUUGAAAGCUCGAUACUUCAAAUCAAGUGAUAAGAACAAUUUGAAUGCUCCUUUAAAUGUCUGAAACAUUCUAUUUGACAUAAAUAACCCAAAAAAUCACACCCUUAUGCCCCAAAAAUGUUUGGAAAAAUAUUAGAGGUCGACAAAUACAACCCAAGGCUCUAGCAAACCAUAAAAACUUGAGUUGUUAGCAUAAACAAAAAUAAAUCAAGUAAUUAGUUAUACAAUCAAAACCCAAGAUUUCAAGAAUGAAUCAGCAUUGUCUAGAGAAAGUCAUUAAUAAUGAAAUCAACCUUAAAAAAUAUUUUAAUAUGAAACAAAGUAUGGUAGGACUAAAAUAAACUCAAGGCAUUGAUUAUCAAGGGUAUCAACUUAUUGUCUAAAUUACAUAUUUCAAUUUUAAAUUUCGAAAGAUCACUAAAUCAUGCCGAAACUCUAAUUUAUUCAACAUUCGGUCAAUUUGAACAUAGUUCGUCAAAUUUUUGUUUAACAUAGAAAAUGUGAUCUACUUACAACACAAUUUUUUUUCUUUCCUUUAGUUAGAUAUCAUCAAUUUUCUUUUAUUCCUUUUCUUUUUUUUUUCUUUUUUUUUUAAGUGGAGGCAUUGUACAACAUAUAUGGAAGACACACUUUCAUUUAUUGUUGCCUAAUUCCAAUGUGGGGUUGUUUCCAAAUUUUGCAAGUAAUGACAUUAGUUUCUUGAAAAGAAUAUUGAAUUUAUUUUAGCUAAGAUGUCAAACAUCACUUUGGAAAACAAUUUUAAAACUAAGUCAAACAUGAUAUGUGAAUUUAAUUUGAAUAAACAUGGUGUUCGUUACUUCCAAAAGCUCAAAAUCUACUCAAUCAAUUAAAUUUAAGAAGAUUCUCUAUCGCUCAAUUUUAAAAUUUAAAAGUGGCCCAAACCAAUGCUAAGCAAAGGCGCUCAAUCAUAACAUAUCUCAUCUCAUAUCCAGCAUCCUCUUGCUCAAAUAGUAAACAGCUCACUCCUCCCCUUAGUCAUUGAGCUAAGCUAACAUGCAUCCCAAGGCCAUAUUUGAAGCUAAAGAGUAUAGAAGCAGUGGUUAUCCUAGUGUGGGAGGCACUAAAACUAGAGGAGAAAGCAAAUACUCCUUAAUCCUGUCGAAAGCAUGUUGGCAAUCAUCAUUCCAUAUUGUAGGCUAAUUCUUCCUCAAAAAGCAAAACAUAGUGUAGACUCUCCAUUUUGUCCUCCUAGCACAUGUCAUAUUAUGUGUUCGCUUGGUACUUUACAACAAUUCCCUGGUGGCCCAUUACUGUUCAUGUAGUUUAUCUUUUCUAAGCCACCUUGGAGACUUUGGUUGAGGGACUCAUCUGACCCCAUUGUGAUUCUGGGCAGUCUUAAUUUAUACUUAGGUUUUUUCCUUCCUUGUUAGGCCCAUUUAGGUGCAUUUGACCCAUUAGGCACCACCUUAGGCCCACUUAGGCAUCCUAAGUCCAUUUAGAUGCACUUGGCCCAUUAGGCACCACCUUAGGCCCACUUAGGCACCUUAGACCCACCUAGACACAUCUGACCCACCUAGGCACAUCUGAUCCACUUAGGCACUUUCUUGGGUUUAGUUUCACUUAGAUUUGUUUUCUUGUUUUUCUUUAUUUAUUUAUUUUAUUGAUUGAUUUUAGGAUUAAGUGAGUUUUGAUUUAUUUUAUCUUGUUUCAUUAUUAUUAUUAUUUUUAUUUUAUUUAUUUAUUUUAUUUUGUGAUUGCAUGAAAUGAAUUUUUUUAUUUUUGGUGGUUUGAGUUUGACACUUCGAUUAUUAUUAUAUGUUGCAUUAGUUUAAUUUCUUUUGUUAUUAAAUAUAUCUAAUAUCUAUUUAUUUAUUUAUGUAUUAUACCUUUUAUCUAUUUAUUCAUAUUGUCUUAUUUACUUAUUUAAUCACUUCUUCAAAAUUUAGUGAAACCAAUGUUGACUUUUAAUCACUUGAAUUGUUUCGACUUUAGAUAUGCACGAGAUUGCCUAACUAAUUUUUAAUUGAAUAAUCUUGUUCUUUUUAUCCUCUUUUAUUUUAUUUAUCUUCAAUCUCAUAAUUUUAUUUCCUUUCUUUCUUUCUUUUUAUUUUUAUUUUGCAUGAGGAAAUGGGCUGUCAUCUAUUUGGAAGGAGGAUCACCAAAAUUUUCGAGAAAGGAAAGUGGUUAUGCAUUGGAGAAUUUAUGGGAAGUAAGGGCUACCAUGAUUUUGGAGAAUUGUGAUUUAUGUGCAGUUUUGAAGUUUACAAACGGUUGGUUUUAAGGGUACAGUUGGUGUCAUCAUAAGCUCUCAUGAGUUGCCUUUACCAUAUCAUAUUAAAGCUUCUUUUGGGUUGUUUUUGUGACUAUUUUUUGGUACACUAAUGGACCACACAUGGGCUGAAUCUGGGCGCUUUUGUAGGCUGAAUUUUUAAUAAGGAAAUAGCGUGGUUGUAUGAGAUAUUUUUUGGAGGACAGAAUCAUGCAUUCCAUAUAUUGGCAACCACACUUUUCAUACUAGAAAAAUCCAUGCACCAUUGCGACUGGGGAAGCCACACACUUUUCAAAUAAAAAGAAGGCAACUUGCACAUGUAUAAAAAGAAUACACGGACCUUUGAAAGGAAAAUUACCAAAGUUGUUUUGGUAGAGGAAAAGGAAAGGUUCACUGUGUAUUUGGACGGACUGAAGGCUAUGUUUAGGAAGAAGGGUUCUGAUCAUGCUAGACUAACGCGGAUGAUUGAGGCUCUCCCCGGGCUGGUAAGUGAUAUUUCCAUGUUGGUAAAGUCAAUGGGAAGGAGUGUAGAGGUGCAUAGGGAUGGAAUGUGGGCUAUGUGCAGAGAAGGGAGAGUUCUGAUCAUGCUGGACUGAAGCGGGUGAUUGAGGCUUUCUUCGGGAGUUAGCUUCCCAUGUUGGUAGAAAACGGGAAAAGGAAGAAAAUGAGGAGUAGAGGGGACACGAGGAGCGGUAGAAAAAAGGGAAGUGGAGGUGUAGCGGUACCAUUGAGAAAAAAAUUUCAGCACGUGAAGAGGGCUUUGAAAGUUUGGUUUUCUGGGAGAGGUGGCACAAUUUGUAGCAGAAAAACGGGAAGUGGAGGUGCAGCCGCACCUUAGAAAAGAAAAUGUACAACCGCAUCUUAGAAAAGAAAAGGUGCAGCCGCACCAUUCUGAAGAAAAUGAGAGAUAGCGGGCUGGUGAUGAACAGGACACUGGUUUUGGAGGAUAGGUGGGUUCCAACUCAGUCGCACCAUUGAAGCUUCGGGGAAAGCAUGACUGCCUUUGAUACCACGCACCAUUCGGAUUGUUUUGGAGCAUGCAUUACCGGUUGAUUUUUUAUUCAUCCUAUCAUCCACACAGCUGCCACUUUGAGAAGCAUACAGUUCACACACCUAGCCGGCUAGGUAAGCUACUCCUUUUAUAUAGGCUUUCUUAAGUUUGGUUUCAUUUCUAUUUGGAUUCAUUAUGUUGAGUUGAGGGGCUUUGAUUUUUUUUAACUAGUUUCAGUUUAGAUUUGUUUUAUCAAGCAAUGGCAGCCAAAAGAUGGAAGCCAUCAUUUGAAAGGGAAGGUUUCCAGGUUGAAGCUAAUGACGUUAAAGUUGGAAAGAGAACAAGGGUUUAGAUCUUAACGUGGGUCUUGAAACGUAAGACAGUUCCGUUUAGACAAUCAGAAACCAGUAGACACUCUAAACAUGUACGGUAGUAACAGGAAGAUGACUUUAUGGGUAAUGGUCUUGGAAUAUAGGAUGUCUUGCAUUAUCGUGAGUUGAUGUUAAUCAGUUUUAUCAAUGUUUUCUUUCUAGGACCUGACCCAAUUCUGUUUGACUGAGGGUUGAUCCAAUUUCAGCCGGAUUUCUUCUAGGAACUCUAUAUUGUCAACAAUUAGGCUUAACGUGAUUGUAUUGUCCGUCAUACUUCUAAAAAAGGUAUAAGAACCUUAAACCCAGGAAAUAUUUGGUCGGUAUACACAUCCUAAUCACCAACUAACAACCAGAAUAUGUACUAAGAUCAUUACGAUAAGCUGAAGUGGGAUUUUCUUGUCACUGAUCCAUGGCCACAAAAUAAGAACAUGCGUUCAUCUUUGAAAUCAAAUGAAUUUCAAGAAUACUACUGUGAUUUGACUUGUUACUGAUUCAUCUCCACAAAAUGGAUGGUAAUCUCUAUGGCUCUUCAAAUGACACGUGCUCCCUAAUCCCAAUUCCCUUUUGGUUGCAUAUACCUGACUUCUUCUUAGUGGAACCAUCAUCCUCUUUGCUGUCUAGGAUAGGGGGUACUUCAUGGGAUCCACUAAAAUUCCUCUUCAAUUCUUUGAUAACAUCAAAAUUCCAACUGCCCAUUGUGAGUUUAGUGUUGAUUUUAUAAAUCUGAAUUUUAUACCUUGUGAGGACAUUUUCCUAACGCAAUAGCAUAGCCUUUUGGGAGGACAAUUCUAGUGGUGCAAAAAUUUUCAAAAUUUUUUUUUUCCUUGCUGCCAGUUUUCAUUCAACCACUAACCCUUUAGUGUUAAAAUUCGUUACAAAAACUUUAGAAUAUUUUUAAAAAAUUUCCAAAGCUUGUAUGACUUUCUUCACUCCUUGAACUUGAAUUUAAAGUUUUGUUUGAGUUAGAAAACGAUUUUAGAACAGAAAAUAUAAAUGAGUCUUUAGGGGGGCUCUGUUUUCACCCAGUUCUGGACACCCGAGAUCUUUUUACAAAACUAAAAUAACAGACGACUUUAUGAAUUUGAUUUGAUAUUUUUUCUUAAUUAUAGGCUUUUUUGAGGGAGAUAUGAUUUCUCAAAAUCAUACCUACUGCACAUGUUGGAUUCUUGAUAUCUGAUUAGCUUAAGUGUUUUAAAAAAUAUUUUUGAGUACUAUCCGACCCUGGAUUCAUUUUUUAUGUGAUAUAGACACUUUGAAAUAUGUGUGUGAUUUUUUGUAUGAUUUUAUGUGAUCAUUUAUUAUUUUUUAAAAUUUGUUUAUGCAUGUCAGUCUUUCUUAUUUAAUCUGGACUUUGUAGAACCUUUAGGUGUCUUUGCUACAAUAUGUCCUUUGAAUGAGUGUUUUGGCCUUCAGUAUGUUGAUCUAGAUAUGUAGGAGUUGUUUCCUGAAAUUUUUCUUAAUUAAAUUCCACUCUAAGCCAUUUUUAGAAAUUGUUUUUUUUAUGCCCCCUUUUAUAAUUGCAUGCUGAUGAUCUUGUACAUUGCUUGAAUUGGUUAUUUAUUUUUGGAGUCAUUUGACUUACCUUGGCUCAAUUUUGGCUUUGGUACUGUGUAUUAGACACAAUGAAUAUGUUAUAUAACUCAUACUUGUCCUAAUCACUCUAUCAUUUUUGGAGGAAUCUUAUAAAUUAUGCAUGCUAUCCAGGAAUGCUCUGUAUCACUUACUUUUCGAAAUUUUAUGAACAUGAAUGUUAUUGUGAGUCUUAUUUAUGCUUUAUGCGAUCCUUGUGUGCUUAAAUGUAUGCUUGAUUUGCUUGGAUAAAACACAUGUUGUGUGCUAUAUUUUCAAACUAACCAUUGAUGUUUUAUGAUAGCGCUUAAGAAGUAGUUCAGGUACCCACCUUAAAUCUUCUUUAUGAUUUGUGAUUGGUUUUUCUUGUUUGGUAUGUUAUUGUUUAAAUCACCUAGCCUACGUAGGUAUCCAUGAUCAAAUAAUUAAUUGUCACAUUUCUCUCAACUUAGUCAAUAAAGACCUCUGUAGGGCUUAGAGGGGUGCUACCUUUUAGAGGUGCAUUCCCAAUAGGUAAUCUGAUCCCCGAACCUAAACUCGGGUUUUUCAAAGACACGUUUUUUCAAAAACUAUGGAGUCACUUCUUUAGGGUUUUCUUUCUUAUUUUAUUUUCCUUUUUAAAAUAAAAUAAAAUAAGUGGCGACUCCAACUUUUCCAAAACAAUUUUUUCACCAAUAAAAGCGAGUCUCACCGAUUGAGUGGGGACGUACAUGAAAAAUGCGGGUCCACGGCUCAUAUAUGUCUAUCAAUCUGGCUAUGAAAUGACUGAUAUACUAUAAUCUACCUAAAGAAUCCUUGAUCCCCCACUCAAUCCUCGAUGCAAGCAUGUCAACUAUGGCUCUGAUCUUAUCUGGAUCUACCUCUAUACCUCGCUCACUAACAAUAUGCCCUAACAAUUUCCUAGAAGUAACUCCAAAGGUGCACAUCUUGGGGUGUCUCAAUCUAAACUUCCAGAUUCUCUCAAAGAAUCUCCUUAAAGUUGUUAGGUGAUUUGCUUUGUCUCGGGAUUUCAUAAUCAUAUCAUCAAUGUACACCUCAACAUCCCUAUGCAUCAUAUCAUGAAACAAGAUAGUGGCAGUCCUUUGAUAAGUAGCUCCUGUGUUCUUUAAUUCAAAUGGCAUAACUCUAUGAUAAUAAAUACCCUACUCAGUAAUGAAGACAGUCUUCUCCAUAUCCUCUAGAUCCAUCAAAAUUUGAUUAUACCCAAAAAACUCAUCCAUGAAAGACAAUAUCGAAUGACUUGCAAUGCUAUCAACCAAUGUAUUAAUAUGCAGGAGGGGAAAGUCAUCUUAAGGACUAGACUUGUUAAGAUUCCUGAAAUCAACACAAACCUUGAACUUGUCAUCCUUUUUAGGAACAAGGGCGACAUUAGCCAACCACUCAAGAUACUCAACCACUGAUAUAAAACCAACACCGUGUUGUUUUUUAAUCUCCUAUAUCACUUGCAAGCUCCAAUGAGGGUGUAACCGCCUUAACUUCUACUUAACUAGUUUGGCAUGUGGCAAAAUAGAUAGGUGAUGUUGAACUAUAGAGGCAUCAAGGUCAAACAUGUCCUCAUAAGACCAUGCAAAGACAUCCAAGUAUGACUUGAGUAAAUGAAUGAGUUUAUCUCUCUUAUCUGUGGAUAAGGGUGAACUAAUCUUCAACUCUCUAGGUUGAUCCUCUAUACCAAAAUCAACAAUCUCAACAUCCCCCAUAGCAGAUGAAACUCUCUCAAAUAUGGGGUCCGAAUCAUGGUUAAAAGAACCUCCAUUUGAAUCAUGUUAUGUAAUCUCAUCGUCUAUAUCAAAUAUUUGUGAUGUGGGUGAAUGGGGUGUAGAUAAAGAGACAUCAUCACAAGAGAUAGAUGAAUACUCGAAUAUACUCAAAUUGAUAAAUGAAGCAUUAGAAACAUGUCAAAGAGAGAAACAAAUCCCAAUAAAAUGUCAAAUGAAAUAUGUGGGUCUACAAAGUAGAACGCUCCCUCAAUGGGGCUAAAAAAUGCCCUUAAAUAAAUUAGUAUCAACCAUAACAUCCUCUGAAAGCUUUGGAAUAGGAGCAAUUUGGAUCUCCUCAGCAGCCUCAAUGGCGGAUACCCCAAAUAGAUCAAACGGUGAAGUAGGCUUAGACUAAAUAACGCUGGUAAUUUGACUCAUACCCAUCAUAUCCAUAUCCAUCUCAUCUCAGUACUCGUCAUAAGGAAUAACUCUAUCAAUCACCUCAAUAGGCUCCACGGCUACUCCAUCAUCAGUAAUUUCCUUAAGGAAUCAUAAUGAUAAUAAACUAGCUUAGUUUAGAGACAAAGGUGCAAUCACCAUAGAAAUAGACGUUCUAGGUGUCCCUUCACCCAACUGUAAUUGAUGAAAUAGAUGUCGAAGCUCAAUCUCUCUAUCUAUACCAACCCUAUUGCCAAUUUUCUAUAAACGAGGCUGAAUCUCUAAUUCUUUGACAAAGUAGUCGGUCAAACUUAUCCUGUAGGGGCGAACAGGAUAAUCAAAUGGCAUGUUAGACAAUCAGGCCUUACUUUCUCCUUACCCAGUUACGCCAUAUACUGGUAAUCAACCUCGAUAGGAAUGUACCUAAGCCUAAAUGGUGUAUCAUAAUUGAUGGCAUCUACAAACUCAUUAGGCCCAUGCUGACAUCGUCCUAAUCCCAGGCUAGGUAGGAAAGACAUACCUUUCAUAAUGUUGAGCUCUUUUGUUGGUCAAAUGACAUAGCUACAAAGUCUUUGUAGAAAUCCUCAAUCUCAAUAGUCUGAAUCUCAUCAAAUGUAAACUUAGUAAAAAAUAGAUCAUCAUCACCAUGACUGAACUAAAGCACCAACUCGAAAGAGGAAAUCAUGUCUUUAGGGGACUGCAUCAUGAUGACUUGUCUAUCAUGUAUGAACUUCACCUAUUGAUAAAGGGAAGAAAGAAUAGCUUUGGCUAUAUGAAUCCAUGGCCAACCCAACAAUAGGUUAAAUGUUGUAGGAAUCUUUAAAAUCUUAAACAGAGUCAAGAAUGUGGUCAGACCAAUCAACAAAUCAAUCAUCAAAGUGCCCAUAAUUUCCCUCUUAAUGUUGUCAUACGUUCUGACUAUCUGAGUAGAAUGACCAAAAUUUGAAGGUGCAAAUCCAAGGGUCAAUGUAGUGUCUAGGGGGCAAACGUUCAGGGUCGAGUCAUUGUCCACAAGACAUAUAAGACUCUAUGGCUUCAAAAACCAAUUGAGAUGUAAAGAAGGCAUGUAAUGUCUAAACCCUCAUGUGGCAAGUCAUUAUUUGAAAACAUAAUGCAAGCGGUUAUAUCAGUCAUCAUCAUAUGGAUAAACCCCUUAGGAGUAUUAAUAGUUUCCCCUUUGAUCUUACUGAAAGCUCGUAUCAACGCAUCUCUAUGAGUAUUGGAAGAUACCAAUGGACUCUAAAGGGAUAUACGGGCUUAGGUGCUCUGUAAUUGUCUCAAAACCUUGUUAUCAUCUCUCCUAACCUCCUCAUGAGAGGCUACACCCUCAAAUGACCUAGUCACUAUAGGUAGGGGUAGAGCUACUCUCCCACUAUGGGUCACAAUCUAUAUCUCUCUAUCCUUAGAAUAUAUCAUCUAGCCAUAAAAUAAAUGGAAUAGAUGUACCUUGAUGUCCAGUAACCAAUGGUGUAAAAGGAAUCAACAGAAACAAUGUCUCAUCUAAAAUCAAACCAAAUGGUGUAGAAACCUGAGGACCUAAUGUAACUCCAUCAACCUCAUAACUAUCAUCCAAAAUGAUUGGGUCAGGAAAUCCGUCAUCCUAACUCAACAUAUGUAUAUUGUUAUCCUCUACAAAGUCUAUGUGAUGGAUAUCACUUGGAGGUGAAAGCACUACAUGUGUAGAGUAGGCAAGAAGGGGAUUAGUGGUUACACUUGGCUACCCAAGUGAACCAAACCUUGGUUUAUCAAAUCUUAAAUAGUAUGUCUCAGAUUGGUACAAUGGUCUGUAUCAUGCCCUAAACCUUGAUGAUAAGAACAAUGCAAGUCUAAUCUAAAGUGAGAUGGCACUGGUUGAGGUAUUGGCUUGGGUGCCAAUAGAGUCAAUAAUCCACCCUCCACGAGCUUCUGAAAAGCUCAACUCAAAGGUAUACCCAACUACGAAAACUAUCGUAUCGACCUCGACACUAGAGGAAUAGUGAUAUGUGGAGCUCUAGGUCGAGGGUAUAAGGUAGGGGGCCUCUUUGUCACUUAAGCAACAAAAAUGAGUUAUGAGACUAAGUGCAGAUAUGUAAGAGUCAUGGGUCGAGCGGGAUUUGGAGGUCUAUAUUUAGCAGUAUAGGCCACGAGCACCUCCUCAGCCAUAUGACCAGGCUUACUUGUCUCCCAUACUAACAUUGUCUUGUUACGCCACACAGGGUGCAGAGAGACCUCCGACUUCAUAUCUUACCCCAGUACAACCAUGCUAUGUAGCACAGGUUGUAGUGAGACCUCCAACUUUAUACCCUAGACCUAGGGCUCCACAGGCUUCUGUUCCAUCUACCCUAAGGACAUAGAGACAAUUUUCACACUUAGGUAUGUCGUUGAGCUAGACUCUUCGAAAGCUCACAAAUGUUGGAUUAUUGAUACUUCUUACUCCCAGGCCAUUGUCUCAGCCAGUUCUGCCACAAUUUCGGGUGGAUCUAUAUCGUGCAUGUCAUCAGAGGCAAGACAUGAGACCGAUUAUUGUACUGCUUUGAGGCGCACCAUCCAGGACUUGAUAGAUCAGGGUUUGGUUCACUUAGGUCAGCCAAGUGUAACCACUAAUCCUCUACCAGCUCAUACUUCACAUGCAGUCCCUCCGUCGGCCGACAACAUACAUUUCAUGGAUUUCACUGAGCCAGUUGAUCGCAUUCACAUGUUGAGUUGGGAAGAUUUUGAGCCAGAGCCUAUAGUAGUGGAUGAGAGCUAUGAGGUUGAUGGAGUGAUCUUAGACCCACAGGCAUCCACACCAUUUAGACUGGUUCCUAACACACCACUAGUGCAGUUGACUACGGUUGGGCCGUUGAUUCACCAGUGUUAUAGCAUUCAGUAUCCGUUUAUAUUGAGUCGAGAUCCUGAUGAGAUGGUUACUCAGGAUGUUUAGUAUGUCAUCUGUGGGGACAAGGUGGUACGACAGUAGCCUCCCACAGUUGCCUGACCUUUAGAGAGUGAUGUCACUCGAAAGGAGACCAGAUGAUUCGUGCCCAGCUGGUGUAUGUCCUGUUGACUGGUGUUCAAUCAACUGGUGUACUCUGAUUUUCUAUCCUCAGACAGGAGUAAUCAACAAAAUUUAUAAACCUAUUUCACCAUAUACUAGGGUAGCAUUAGCUAGUAUAGCAUAGUGGCUCUAGGAUCGUCCACAGGGAUAGGUUUUCAAAUUACAACUAAUAUCAGUUCAAAAACUGAAUUGAUGUCUUUUCUUUUCAAGGUUAGCUUUAAAAGAAAACAUAAAUAUGUUUGAAAAGGUUGGUUUUAAGUGAAACAAAAAUAAAGUAAUUGAAAUUACUUACAAAGAAAAGUGCUUCUUAGAGUUUUAGAUCACUAGGCUCAGGUUCCUUAUACAAAAGGGAGAUUCCGGUCACUUGGAUCUUUUCCUCGCAUUGGGGAUUUAACAUAUAGUUAUUUCCCGAACUAGUGUGGUACAGAUGCUUCCCCUUAAUGGUUUCAAACACUAAAUCCCUGUCACUGAAUCAUCUUGCAAUGGUUCAUACCUCUCACCUAGUAUUGGCCAUUCAGGGUGAUCCUUAACCUUGGAUUACCCGUCAAAAGCUCGCAAGAGAUAACUAAUGGAUGUUUCCUGGGAGUCUAAAAGCUUACCAAGUGUUGGCUAUUCUAGAUAAUCCUACCUUUAAACCACCUCCUAGAGGCUCGCAAGAGAUAAACUAGUGUAUCUCAAUGGACGGAGAUUACUUGCCUUACCAAGUGUUGGCCCAGGUGAUUUUAAGGGAUUUUAAGUUAACUAAAAAGAUAAAAACCAUUAACAGGUCACACUUUCUUUUCAUUAAAAAGUAAAACAAUAAAACUUGCAAUUUUUGUAUUCAGAACUUUACCUAGCUUCCUUAACUCCAAGAAACAAAAAGCCUAGCCACUCAUCCUCUAGGAAAACAUCCCCAGAGUUUGAUUUGCUAGAAAUAAAAAUAACGUGAAAACAAAAUGAGAAGGUAAGGCAGAGCAAAGCUCUGUGUAUUACUUUCUGAAAAACUAUACAAAAAAGUCGUCUCUGAGAAAAAAAACUCCCAAUCUCUCUUAAAAGAAAAUUACAAUAGAUAUUAUAGAGAGAGGUUAUUCACACCUCCUGCUAACUUCCCAACCAAAAAAACUUGUCAUUGGUGGGUUACAAGGAGAAAAUAGGGAUUUACACACAAAUAUCUGAAGAUAAAUAUCAAACGGAGUCGGUGCGCAAAUAUCUCAAAUUACAAGUGGAUUUCGCAAGUUCAAAUGGAACUUGCGAAAAUUUCGCAAGUUGAAAUUAUGAUUACUACCAAAAAGUGCUAUUUUGUAGACCUAAUUAUAAUGGUUUUAAGCACCUUUGAGUAGUAAUCAUAUUCAUUUAACCCAAUUGACAUGUUAAGGACCCUUGCAAUCGUUUCUAAUCAAAUUGUGUUAAGUUUUGGUGUUUUUGAUAGCUUUUAGCUACACCAAAGCAAUCCAAGAAUGAGGGAGAGCUGUAUAUAGUUCAUGGCAAAGCUUUUGGAAGCUCAAAUUCAUGAAGAACCAAGCUUUGGAGCUCCAUAGCCCUUUGCCAAAGUCGUUCAAAGUAUGCAAGGAAAGAACAAUGGAGAAGAGGAAAACAGAGUGAAGAAAACAGAGGACAGCAGCUGCAGUAUUAUUUUGCACUUUUGGAGCACUUCCUGAAGUCUAUUUUCUAGAUGCUAUAUACCAUUUCAAAUCUCAGAAAGUCAAGAAUCCAACGCUUCAAACCGUGUAUGAUUUGGAGCUGAAAUGAGGAAGAUAUGGCCUUCGGAAGACAACUGCAUCAAGCCAUGGGAACAUCAUUUCGCAAGGAGAUUUUCUUCAUGGUGCGAAAUUUGGCCAUUUCGCACCAUGAAGAACCACCUUGCGAAAUUUGGACCCCUCAUAUUUCCCCUUUGCGAAAAUGCCUUUUAAAUCCCCUGUUUUGAGACACUAUUGAUGAUAUUCCACUGCCGGUUCUCCAAGAUAUUUUGCUUGAUUUUUAGCUUUGUAAAUACCUAUUUUACCCUUGUAAUCAACCAAUGAAUAGGUUGCUUUUGUAAUAGCUCUUGUAAUUUAGCUUGUUAUUGUCUUUAAAUAGAGGUGAAGAGCCUCAGACAAAGGGAUCUUGUAACCUGUAACUUUAUAAAUUAUAAGAGCACUUUUGUUCAUACGCUUCUUUUCUAUUUUCUUUCUCAUUUUCUUAGUAGCCAAACAUCCUUGGAGGAUGAAAUCCCCAAGGAUGAGAGGCUAAAACUUUUAGUUUCUCAAAGUAUGGAUGUUAUGUGAUGGCUUGGAUGCAAUCCCAUGGAAAUUUCUCGCACCUGGAAGGUAAGGUAGUCGUUUUUCAUUAAUGGUUCAUUAAUGCAAAGUUUGGUUUUUAUUUCCUUUGGACAACUUCCAACGGCCAAUACUUGAUAAGCUUUUGGAUUUCUAUCCAUUAGUUAUCUCCUACGAGCUAUUGGAAGGUGAGGUUUUCAAUUCCAAGUUUUGCAUUAAUCCGUUAGAACCAAUUUCAAUGGUCAUUGAAAGGUGAGUUUAUCACCUGGAAUGACUUUGAGUUGCCAAUAUUUGGUAAGCUUUUGGCUUUAGACCAUUAGUUAUCUCUUACGAGCCAUUCAAAGGAAGUCUAAGGUGAAUAACCAUUAAUGAAAUUCACUACCAUCUGUUUUGCCAUUUUAAAGGAUUAAAACUUGAUUUGCUAAAUCCAUACCGGUUUGGGAAGCAAGCAUCACCAUAGUUACAACCCCAACGCGAGGAGCCUAUCCUGAGAUUUCCAAUUUGCAUAAGAGCCAGAGCAUAGCUAUCCUAUCUUUGAGAAACUUGUUAUUACACCCUUUCAUUUUAGUCUUUAAUGUUAGCUUAGAUUAGUUUAAAUCUUUCUAAAACAUUUACAUCUUCUUUUAAAGCUAACAUCCAUAAGAAAAUCACCUAUUUUCCUAAUUUGAAUAUCACUUGUGUUUGCGAAAACCCUUCCCAGUGAACAAUCCUAGAACCACUAUGCUAUAGUAGCUUGGCUACUUUAGUAAUAGUAUUUAAGGUAUAAAUUUUGUUGAUACGCCUUUAAAGCUAAGCUACCAUGAGUUGUAUCAAAUUAUCCAUUUUGCAAGUUGCGAAAUUGUCCUGCAACUUAUCAGUUCUCUGUCCUGUAGCGAUUCAUUUCCUCUUCCUAUUUCACAAGUUGGAUUCCACAACUUGCGAAAUUGCUGGAUGGUUGAUUUCUUCUGUGUUUUUCUUCCUUGCAUCCCCAUUUGGCUUUGGCAAAGGGUUAUGAAGCUCCAAAGCUUAGUUUCUUCAUGAAUUUGAGCUUCAACUUGGUUUGCCAUGAACUAUACAAAGAUUUUCCUCAUUCUUGGAUUACUUUGGUGAUAAAAAAGCUAUCAAAAAUACCAAAACUUAACACAAUUUGAUUAGAAACGAUUGCAAGGGUCCUUAACAUGCCAAUUGAGUUAAAAGGUAAUAACUACUACUCAAAAUUGUUUAGAAGAGUUAAUUACAAGCUAUAAAAUAGCACUUUUUGAGUAGUAAUCACUCCCCCUAACCGACAUAUUGCAAGUCCCUUAGCAAUGAAGGAGAGAAAAAAAAAUAAACAGUACUAUAAUUUACAACAUCAUGUUGAUCACUCCAAAAAGUUUUAAGUGGCAUGAUGAUCAAACUCUCACAUGGGACAUUAAAGAUAUAAAACUCAAACUUCAGCCUAAUCAUGAUUCAUAAAGAGAAGGCAUUAUGCAAAUUUAAGCUUUAAAAGAAUUUCCACUCCUAAAAGGUCAAUCCUUACUCUUCCACAAAAAACUAAGUGUUACUUAUUAGUUUUCGAAUAUAGUAUGUUGAACUAAUCUUUCCCCCCAACCUAGUUCUUUUUCAAAACUUAGCAAACUGAAAACCUCCAAUAAGCUAAGAACGCACCUCAUUUAUUUCACACAUUUUUUUUUUCUUGUAGGAGUACAAAGCUUAAAGGUAUUCUUUUCUAAAUUGUCCAUGUAACGAGGGUCCAUCGAUGACUCCCAACCAAUUAAGGUUUAGGGCAUCAAGCUUCAAGGAUAUUUCGACCACUAACUCUUCGGAUUUUACCCUGGACUUUUGAGAUUGGAAUUCAAUACCCAAGCACCUACAAUAUGUUAAACUCCACCUAUUCACCCUUGUAACGAGCAUUGAGGUCGGCGACUCCCAACCAAUGAAGGCUCAGGGCACCAGGUUUUAAAGAUUUUCACCAUAUACCCCUCAGACCUUGCUCGGGUUUCAAGGCAAGUAUACAUCAAAGGCUCAUUGGCUUUUUCUAAGGUGUCCCAAUACUAUUCAAAUGAGGUCAAAGGUACUAAGUCUAAAAUUUCCUAAGUCAAGGGGUGAAAUAGUUUUUCAUCUUAUAAUCGGAACCUAGUGUGCACAGUGUGUGGUAAGCUUAAAGUGGACGAAAUAAGGUUGAAUUCAAUAGAAGUUUCAACAAUUCAUAAACUUUAAUAAGCAUAAUACAAACUCUAAGUCAAGUAAAAAGACAAAAAUUCAAUUUCUCCCAUUUCAUUUUGAGAAUUUUUCUUUGAUAAUCAUGAAGAGUAUUCAAAAAAAUUUUAUUUUUCUUUUAAAUUUAAACAAAAAGUAACUAAAUUACCAUUUAUAACCUAGCAUUAUAAACAAUACUUCCUUCCUCAACUCCCCUCAACCAUGCUGAACAUUGUCCUCAAUGUUUGAAGAGCAAUUGAAAAGAAAGGGAGGAAGUAGUACCUCCUAAGUGGAAUAGGGUCUGAAUUGUAUAGGAGAAACCACAUGAUUCAAAAAACAAUAAAAAAUAAGUAGAAGAAAUAAAUUAAAAAUAUGCCAAGUAUACUAAAAAAUGAUGGAUAUGUAUUACUUUAAGAGAGUACAAUAUGAAAUAUGCACAAGUAAUACAUCCAAUCCCAAUAUAUAAAACAUCAAAAACAUGGGAUUAAGAGUUCUACUAUAAUAAGUAAAUACAAAAAGUAGAUAGAUGAUAAGGUAGUGGUGGGAGGGUCAUGUGGAGAUGAUAGCUCUGCUGUGGUCUCCUGAGUACUCUGGAUCGGAGUCUCGAUCUCUGUUGUAGUAGUCUCCUCAUGGGGCAUAGUCUGCUUUGCCGGAGUAGCCUCCUGAGAUGGAAUAGCUUGCUCAGCUGGAGUAGCCUCCUCAGAUGGAGCUGUAGGCUCUGAUGGGCCAGGCGUAUCAUGCUUAGGUGGUGGCAAAAUACCCAAAUGCUGUUGUAUCUGCCUAAGGAUGGUAGUAUGCUGGGUCUGCGUGGCGAUAAGUUGAUCUUGACGUGCAUGUAUGACUGCCAUCUGCUGGAAGAGAGCACCUUGAGUAGUGCUCAAUGUCUGCAAUGUAUGACAUAGGCCUUUAAACUCUGAACUGGAUAUGGUGAUAGAGGACUCAAAUGGAGGAGGUGCUGAUGUAGUUGGUAUAACUGGUGGAGCUUCAGGAGUGGUAGGAAGAGCAGAAGAUGUAGCCUUGGGCAUGGGCACUGUAGAAAGUACUGCAUGGGCAGGUGGUAUGAUCCUUGUUGUGCCUGUGGUGGCUACUCAUCCUGAGGUAACUCUGGAGGUGUUGGCAUAUCUGGGGCUCCUGGAGGUGCAACAUAGGCCGUCAAAUGAUUCCAUUUUUUGAGAGUGAAUAGCUCUCGGCAAAUGCGGCGGUGCUCAAGCUGAGGCUCCGAAGGAUAUACCAAAUGCUCUAAUAUCUGACAGAGCAGCCUAGGAAAAGUAAUGGAAUGGCAUCUACUCUUUGGAGUUUCUUCUUGUGGACCUUCUCUUCAAAGUAGAGAAGAGAGGUCAUAAUCAAAUGAUGAGGGCCAAAGUAAAAACCCUCUGAAAUUUGGAAUAAAGUCUCCAAUAUAGCUCCUCUCCUCUGCACCAUAUGCUGAAGUGGAAAUAUGUUGGAGCACAACAUCACAUCUAGAAGAAAUAUCCCAGGUGGAAGCUCCUUCCUAAGAAGAAAUGAGUGUGUAGAGGUCCCCCUAGACAAUAUACGAACCAUGUCUCUCUGAGAAAACUGGGGCCACUCUCUGAAAUCUGUUGGACUCACAGGCUCAUAUGGAAUAUGAAGGGCCUCUACAAUGUGUCUAGCUCCAAUGAUACCAUGGCGUCCAUUAAUAGUGAAGUGGAUGACAGUAGGAUCCUGAACACAACGAGCAGUCAUAGAGUGAUAAAAGUCUAGUGCUACUCUGGGAUAGAAGAAAUCCUUAAGAGUCAUCGGAUGCUCCAAAUGGUAUCUCUGCAGUAAGUGGAAUGAAUCUCUGAACUCCGGCUGUUAUUUGAAAGUCUCCAUAUCAAAGCAUAGCUCGGAGUGGAAUGACUUGGCUUGGCAAUCCAAAUUUCCCUCUAUAGGUGGUUGUGUAACCAUAGGUCGCCUGAUAAUCACUUUUGGAGUCAUCCCAACAGGAAUCUGAGACUCUAUAGCAGCUGACUGAGGCUGUGGAGGUGCAGAUGACUCUCCUGGGCCUAAAACUCUGGCUUUCUUUAUAGGAGGGCAACGAACUGAUUUCUUAGGGCGUGAAGUGCUUGCCCCAGGUGUAGUGGGUGGUCUCCUCGUCUCGUGCCUACAUUGAGGAGGGUUAGAUGGCACUCCACCCUCAAAAGGUGGAAUGUCAGAGGCUUGUGGGGCCUCAACUAUGGAAUCCCGCGUAGGUGAAGCUCUGGGCCUUGGAUUACGAGCUAAUGGAUACGCGGCGUGGGCUCCUCUUGUCUUGGCCAUGGCUAAAAUGGAGAGGCUUGUGUACCUUAGGGUGCGCGGAGUGGUUCUUCUUCAGACGCAUGACCUCUAAGCUUCCAACUCUGGAAUUUGGGGGGUUUCGCAACUUGAAAGGGUUGUGUGAUAAUGAAAAUGGAAAAAAUCAGAGGUUUAAAUAGGAAUUUAAAUGUUGGUUGGCAUUCUCGCAAGUUGGUUUGCAAGUUGCCCCAUUUCGCAAGUUGAUUCGCAGGCUGUGAAACUUGAAAUUGAACUUGCAAAAUGACACACUUGUGCUUGGAGAUGCUUUCACAAGCUACGAAAAUUUUCGCAAGUUGAAUAGUGGACUUGCGAAUUUAAGCUUUGAGGAUUUCGCAAGUUAUACCCUAUUUUCGCAAGUUGGAAUUUCAACUUGCGAAAUUUUCACAAGUUGAACUAUUACUUUGUUUUUCAGGCUUUUUCUCCUUCUUUGAUUCUUUAAGGCUUUCCUCCAAUUCCUUUGAAGUUCCUCCUAAUUUUGAUCAUCCAAAAAGUCUAAGUUAGAUAAAAAAUAAAUAAAUUAAAGUUAUAAUUAAAAUUAAAACAAAUAAUAAAGCUUUUAAAUCAACAAAAAACAUGGACUUUGGUUAGUCUUCAGAAAGACUAAGUCCAUCUACUCCUUUUUGGUUAAGAUUGUUGUGGCUCAAGGAGACUGACUUCCUCCUUGUCUUGAUUGAAAGGCUUCAUGAAUGGCUUGAGAUAGUGGCCAUUGACUUUGAAAGUGUAUGUGCUGUUGGAAUUGAGUAGUUCCACUACUCCAUUGGAAUGCACUUGGUGAAUAAUGAAAGGACUUGUCCACCAUGAUUUUAGCUUUCUUAGAAAAAUGUGGAGCCUAGAGUCAUAGAGUAAGACUCUUUAUCCCUUUUGAAAUUCUUUGUUGGAGAUUAACUGAUCAUGCCACCUCUUCAUCCUCUGUUUUUCAAUUUUUGAAUUGAUGUAGGCAUCAUUUCUCAAUUCCUCCAUCUCAUUAAAGUCUAAGCACCUCUUCAUCCCGGCUCUAUUCAAGUCCAUGUUUACUUUCUUAAUUGCCCACCAAGCCUUGUAUUCAACUUCCACAGGGAGAUGGCAUGCUUUUCCAUAGACUAGGCAAUAAGGAGACACGCUAAGAAUAGUCUUGUAAGUUGUUCUGUAUGCCCAUAAUGAAUCAUGGAGCUUAACAGACCAGUCUCUUCUGCUCGUGUUCACCACUUUCAUCAAUAUAUUCUUGAUUUCCCUGUUUGUUAACUCAACUUGCCCAGAAGUCUGAGAGUGGUAAGGUGUAGCUACCUUGUGCUUCACCUCAUACUUGGCUAAGAGAGUUUCAAAAGGCUUGUUGCAAAAAUGAGUACCUUCAUCACUGAUUAUGGCCUUGGGCACCCCAAAUCUUGAGAAGAUGUUCUCUUUGAGAAACUUGAGAACAACUCUAUGGUCAUUGUGUUUACACAGGAUUGCUUCAACCCAUUUAGAAACAUAGUCUACCCCCACCAAAAUGUAAGAGUUACCAAAAGACAUAAGGAAAGGUCUCAUGAAUUCAAUGCCCCAAACAUCGAAAAGAUCAACUAUUAAAAUGGGGUUCAUAGGCAUUUGGUUCCUACGUGUUAACUUCCCAAGUCUUUAACAUCUAUCACAACUCCUGCACAUGGUGUGAGCAUCUUUGAAAGUGAUGGACAACUAAAACCUGAUUGUAACACCUUCAUGGCUGUUUUCUGAGAGGCAAAGUGGCCUCCACAUGCGCUUUUGUGGCAAUGACUGAGGAUCCCCUGUUGCUCUUGUUCAGGGAUACACUUCCUUAUUAUUUGAUCUGCACAAUACUUGAAAAAAAAAAGUUCUUCCCAAUAAUAAGCAUGAAUUUUUGCAAAGAUGUGCUUCCUAUCUUGUGCUUUCCACUCACUUGGAACUUCACCAGUAACUAGAUAGUUAGCAUACUGAGCAUACCAAGAAGCAUCUUCUAACAACAUGAGUGACUCCUCCGGAAAAUCAUCAUUAAUAGGUAAACCAUGGGAAUUAUGCAAUAUAGCCAGCCUUGAAAGGUGGUCAACUACCACAUUCUCCACUCACUUCUUGUCUUUGAUUUGGAGAUUGAAUUCUUAUAGUAAGAGAAUCCAUCUAAUCAGUUGUGCUUUUGCAUGUUGCUUUGUCAAUAAGUACUUCAAAGCUGAGUGGUCAAUGAAAACCACAAUGAAAGACCCUACUAGAUAAGCUCGAAAUUUGUCCAAGGCAAAAAUUACAACCAACAAUUCUUUCUCUGUGGUUGUGUAGUUUCUUUGCGCUUCGUUCAAUGUUUUGCUUGCAUAGUAGAUCACAUAGGGCUUUCCAUUCUCUCUUUGACCAAGAACAGCUCCUAUAGCAAAGUCACUAGAAUCACACAUCACUUCAAAAGGUAGUUGCCAGUUAGGAGCUCUCACUAUUGGAGCGAUUGUCAAGAACUGCUUCAGUUGCUCAAAACUCUUUUGACAUCUCUUAUCCCAUGCAAAUUUACCAUCAUUCACUAAUGGUUCACAAAGAGGCUUUGAAAGUUUAGAAAAAUAUUUAAUAAACCUCCUGUAGAACCCAGCAUGGCCAAGGAAUUGUCUUACUCCUUUUACAGUUGUUGGGGAUGGCAAUUUGACAAUAAGUUCCACCUUUGCUUUAUCAACUUCAAUGCCUUUCUUGGAGAUGAUGUGGCCAAAGACAAUUCCUUGUUGUACCAUAACAUGGCAUUUCUCCCAGUUAAGCACUAAGUCUUUUUCAAUGCAUCGGUUUAGAAUAGCUUCCAAGUUGACUAAGCAUUCCUCAAAUGUGCUUCCAUAUAUGGUGAUAUCAUCCAUAAAAACUUCCAUAAUACACUCCACCAUAUCACUGAAAAUGUUUAACAUACAUUGUUGGAAUGUUGUAGGUGCAUUGCAUAAACCAAAAGGCAUUCUUCUGUAGGCAUAUGUUCCAAAUGGACAUGUGAAAGUGGUCUUCUCCUAGUCUUCAACAUCAAUUUCUAUUUGAAAAUACCCGGAGUAGUCGUCCAAGAAUCAAUAGAAAUGAUGGCCUGAGACUCUCUCCAACACUUGAUCAAUAAAUGGCAAUGGAAAAUGAUCAUUCCUUGUCACAACAUUCAAAUUUAUAUAAUCAAUACACACCUUCCAACCUGAAGUGAGGCGUGUAGCAACUUCUUCUCCCUUAUCAUUUUUCACCACUGUGAUCCCUGAUUUCUUUGGCACUACUUGAGUAGGACUCACCCAUGGGCUAUCUGAUAUGGGGUAGAUAAUACCGGCCUGAAGUAGCUUAAGAACCUCAGCUCGCACCACCUCUUGCAUAUGAGGAUUCAAUCUUCUUUGAGGUUGACGAACUGGCUUAGCUUCUUCUUCCAUGUAUAUAUGAUGUGUACAGACUAAAGGGUUGAUUCCUUUUAAGUCAGAUAUUUGUCAUCCUAUUGUUUUCUUACAUUUCCUGAGAACUUCAAGUAAACACUCCUCCUGACGAGUGGUAAGAGAUGAAGAUAUAACAAUAGGGCACUUCUUAUUAUCUUCUAGGUAUGCAUACUUCAACUCCGUGGGUAGUGGUUCAAAAUAAGCUUUGGGGCCUCCUCUUUAACCGCUUCUUAUAUCUCCUCCUCAUUGAACAAAGGUAGAAUUUCUUCUAUCAUCCUCCAACCUGGUAGAGUAACAAGCAAAUCUGAGGGUUCAGGCAACCCUUCAUCAAGAUCCCCAAGACUUUCAUUCAACUUCUCUUGUAUUUUCUUAUUACAAUGCUCCUCCACUAAAGUGUCAAUGAUGCACACCACUUCUGAACCUUCUUCUUCUUCAGGAUUGAUUGGCUUCUUGCACAUAUAGAAGAUAUUGAGCUCCAAUGUCAUGUUGCCAAACGUGAGUUGCAUGAGUCCAUUCCUACAAUUGAUGAUUGCAUUUGAUGUAGCUAGGAAUGGUCUUCUAAGUAUGAUAGGAACAUAAUUAGUUUCUUUGACAAUUGGGUCCAUAUCAAGAACAACAAAAUCCACUGGAUAGUAGAAAUUGUCAACUUGAACUAAGACAUCUUCAAUCAUCCCUCUUGGAAUCUUCACUGAUCUAUCUGCUAGAGAUAGAGUGAUUGAUGUUGGCUUCAAUUCACCAAGUCCUAAUUGCUUGUGGACAAAGUAUGGUAACAAAUUCACACUUGCUCCCAAGUCCAACAAAGCUUUCUCCACUAAAGUCCCUCCAAUCAUCACUAAAAUAGUAAGGCAGCCCAGAUCUUUGUACUUCACUGGAGACUUACAUUGUAUGAUGGCACUUACUUGCUCAGUCAUGAAGGCUUUCUUAUUCACAUUCAACCCUCUUUUGAUAGUGCACAAGUCCUUCAGGAAUUUUGCAUAAGUCGGCACUUAUUUAAUCAUGUCUAGCAAUGGGAUGUUGACCUUCACUUGCCUCAACACUUCAAGAAUUUCUGAUGCAUUGCUAAUUCCCUUUUUCUCAUGCAAAGCUUUAGGAAAAUGUGGAGGCAUGUGUUUAUUUAUCACAUCUCCCUUGAUAACUAUCUUCUCCUAAUCUUCAUUCAUUGUUGAAUCAUGGUCCUCUUUCCUUCCACUGCUCCCUUUCUUCUUUCAUUUGAUUUCCUCUCUCUUCUCUGUCUCUUUUUCACUCUUUGUUUCAUCAUGUGGCUUGGGUGUUGGCAACCCAACCUCUUUACCACUCCUAAGAGUGAUCAUGGCUUUGACGUCCCUUACUUGUAAAGAUUCUCCCUCAUGAGCUUCCACUUCAUGGAUACCCUUGGGGUUUUGGUGAGGUUAAGAAGGAAACCUUCCCUUUUCUUACACUGUGUUAAGGUUAGUGAGCCUUGAGAUUGAGUAUUGGAGAUUAUCUAUCUUCUGAGAUAAAUCGUUUGCAUUCCAUCCAUCCUUUUAUUCAACGUAUUCUCUACACUAUCAAUUCUUUGAUUGAGUUGAGCAUUGAUGGAUUUCUGGUCUCCAACAAAAUCUCCCACGACCUUGCUUAGAUUCACAAUUGUUUGCUCAAGAUUUGAAGCUUGUUGAGAUGCUUGGCCUGGUUGCGUGUACUAAAGUGCUCUUGGUUUCCAAGAAAAAUUUGGAUGGUUCCUUCAAUUUGAAUUGUAGGUAUUUCCAUAUGAAACAUUGUUAUUGGGCUUGAAUUGUCCAAUGACAUUUGCUUGAUCUCCAAACAUUUCUCUAACAUCUAGAAUUAUAGGACACUCCUCCACUAAGUGCUCAUAAGAUUGACAAAUGGAACAAGGCAUAACUUGCACUAGUGUUUCAGAAGCGGCUUGCACUUCACGUAUCUUUUUUAGUUCUAGCUCCCCCAAUCUUCUUGUCAUAGCUGCAACUUUUGCUUUCAUGUCAAUAUCUUCGUUCAAGGUAUACAUCCCAGCCUUAGCAUUAAGAGCAUUUGGUUGAGACUUCAUUUUUCCCACUUCUCCCAUGUUCGGUUCAUCCCAUCCUCUUGAAACUUCAACAACAUAAUUCAAGAAAUCCAUGGCUUCCUCUGGAUUCUUACUCAUGAAAUCUCCUCCACACAUAGUCUCUAGGAGUUGCUUCAUUGAGGAAGACAUACCAUCAUAAAAGUAACUCACCAAUAGCCAUGUAUCAAAGCCAUGGUGAGGACAAGCAUUGAUAGCUUCCAUGUAUCUCUCCCAACACUCAUAGAAUUUCUCAUUCUCCUUAGUUGAGAAGUUUGAAAUUUAUCUUUUCAAGCCAUUGGUCCUAUGAGUAGGGAAAAUUUUCUUGAGAAAUUCAGCUUGCAAAUCAGUUCAAGUUCGGAUACUCCUUGGCCUUAAAGAAUUAAGCCAAAUCUUGGCCUUAUCCUUCAGGGUGAAAGGAAAUAGUUUUAGCCUCAUCAAGUCGAUUGAAGCUCCUUCCUCUUGGAAUGUAUUACAAACAUCUUCAAAUUCUUUGAUAUGCGUGUAAGGAUUCUCACUUUCCAUCCCAUGGAAAGUAGGUAGAAAUGGCACAAUAUGUGGUCUGAUUACUAGUUGCUCUGUAAGAGGCACUAUGCAUGAUUAUGCACUCAUACGAGGUGGAUGCAUGUGGUCGCUCAUUGAUCUGAAUGCAUUAGGAUUGUCCUAUUGACCAUGGUGACUAUGCUGAUCUUCAGGUGUAGCUUCCAUGAUGUUCAAGCACAAUUCCAACUCUAUUUCGUGAGGUGUUUCAAUUUUUACAAGUCUUCCUCCACUGUCUCAUAUCCAAUAUGGCAUACACAACUAGUAACAACUGUAACAAAAAUAAAGAAACAAAAGAAAACAAUACUACAAAAAAACUAAGAUUAACUAAAAACUAAAUUAAAAGAUAGGUUAAAAUAUGAACAAGUAAAAUAAACAAUUAAAAAGAGUUAGUAAAAGAAAAGAAAAAUCACCAAAAUUGUGAUGAAGAUCACAAGUGUUUUGGAAAAUGUUAUAUCACUGUAAAGUUGGCACCAUCCCCGGCAACGACGCCAUUUGAUUCGUGCCCAACUGGUGUAUGUCCUGUUGAUUAGUGUUCAAUCAACUAGUGUACUCUGAUUUUCGGUCCUCAGACGGGAGUAAUCAACAAAAUUUAUAAACCUAUUUCACCAUAUACUAGGGUAGCAUUAGCUAGCAUAGCAUAGUGGCUCUAGGAUCGUCCACAAGGAUGGGUUUUCAAAUUACAAUUGAUAUCAGUUCAAAAACUGAAUUGAUGUCUUUUCUUUUCAAGGUUAGCUUUAAAAGAAAACAUAAAUAUGUUCAAAAAGGUUGGUUUUAAGUGAAACAAAAAUAAAGUAACUGAAAUUACUUACAAAGAAAAGUGCUUCUUGGAGUUUUAGAUCACUAGGCUCAAGUUCCUUAUACAAAAAAGGAGAUUCCGGUCACUUGAAUAUUUUCCUUGCAUUAAGUAUUUAACAUAUAGUUAUUUCCCGAACCGGUGUGGUACAGAUGAUUCCCCUUAAUGGUUUCAAACACUAAAUCCAUGUCACUGAAUCAUUUUGCAAUGGUUCAUAUCUCUCACCUAGUAUUGGCCAUUCAGGGUGAUCCUUAACCUUGGAUUACCCGUCAAAAGCUCGCAAGAGAUAACUAAUGGAUGUCUCAUAGGAGUCCAAAAGCUUACCAAGUGUUGGCUAUUCUAGAUAAUCCUACCUUUAAACCACCUCCUAGAGGCUCACAAAAGAUAAACUAGUGUAUCUCAAUGGACGGAGACCACUUGCCUUACCAAGUAUUGGCCCAGGUGAUUUUAAGGGAUUUUAAGUUAACUAAAAAGAUAAAAACCAUUAACAAGUCACACUUUCUUUUCAUUAAAAACUGAAACAAUGAAACUUCCAAUUUUUGUAUUCAGAACCUUACCUAGCUUCCUUCACUCCAAGAAACAAAAAGCCUACCCACUCAUCCUCUAGGAAAACAUCCUCAGAGUUUGAUUGGCUAGAAAUAAAAAUAAAGAGAAAACAAAAUGAGAAGGUAAGGCAAAGCAAAGCUCUGUGUAUUACUUUUUGAAAAACUAUACAAAAAGUCGUCUCUGAAAAAAAAAACUCCUGAGCUCUCUUAAAAGAAAAUUACAAUAGAUAUUAUAUAGAGAGGCUAUUCACACCUCCUGCUAACUUCCCAACCAAGAAAACUCGUCAUUGGUGGGUUACAAGGAGAAAAUAGGGAUUUACACACAAAUAUCUGAAGAUAAAUAUCAAACGGACUCGGUGCGCAAAUAUCUCAAAUUACAGGUGGAUUUCGCAAGUUGAAAUUAUCCAUUUCGCAAGUUGAAAUUAUCCAUUUCGCAAGUUGCGAAAUUGUCCUACAACUUAUCAGCUCUCUAUCUUGUAGCGAUUCCUUUCCUCUUUCUAUUUCACAAGUUGCGGAAAUUUCGCAAGUUGGAUUCCACAACUUGUGAAAUUGUUGGAUGGUUGAUUUCUUCUGUGCUUUUCUUCCUUGCAUCCCCAUUUGGCUUUGGCAAAGGGUUAUGAAGCUCCAAAGCUUAGUUUCUUCAUGAAUUUGAGCUUCAACUUGGUUUGCCAUGAACUAUACAAAGAUCUCCCUCAUUCUUGGAUUGCUUUGGUGAUAAAAAAACUAUCAAAAACACCAAAACUUAACAUAAUUUGAUUAGAAACGAUUGCAAGGGUCCUUAACAUGCCAAUUGAGUUAAAAGGUAAUAACUACUACUCAAAAUUGUUUAAAAGGGUUAAUUACAAGCUAUAAAAUAGCACUUUUUGAGUAGUAAUCCCUAGACAAGAGAACCGCGAGAUUUUGAGGCAGUUCCAGAGCACUCAGGCCCGUAUCUCCAUUUGGAGUCUUUUGGCAUCAUCUAUUUCUCACUAGGAGGCACUGGUUAGGGCGUUGAGCCAGAUACGAGUUGAGGCAUCUACCUCCCUUGAUGGAUUGAUCCAUAUGUUGACAGUUGAUGGGGCCACAUACAUUGUCUUUUCUGCUGAUGAUCUAUCCCAUAGGCUUUUUUACCAUACUCUACCAUUCUACAUAUUUUGUUGGUUAUUCUAGGCAUCGAGUUCUAUUUGUCAUUUUGGACAAUGGCUCUGCCUUGAACAUUUGCCCACUAGCUACAACAAUCGUUCUUGGCUUUGGACCUUCAGACUUUGAGCCAUUUUCUUAGACAGUUCAAGCCUAGACCGCUAUAGAGAGGCGACAUGGUUUUAAAAGUCAUCAGGGGAUUGAUCAAAGAUCCUAGAAGAAAGUUCAAACCUAAUUGAAGCAGACCUUAUUUCAUUAGGGAGCUGACCCUAAAGGGCGCUGCAUGGUUGAUGGAUCUAGAUAGAAAUCGAUUCUUGGAGCCAACCAAUGUAGAUUAGUUGAAGAAGUAUUAUGUUUGAGACCAUGGUCACAAAAUGGGUGGCCAUCAUUUCGGUUAGCCAUAUACCUUGUUAUUCCAUUUUGAUAUACAAACCGUUGCUAACCCAUUGAGCCUCGCAUGUGCAUUAUAGUUUUUCUUUCUUAUUGCCUUGCUCACUUCUUUACACCGGGAUAAGGGUCCUUUAGUGUAUGUAUGCAUUGUUUGGGAGUCUCAUGAGCCUUGGGCCUAUGGGUGCAUCUUUCUCUCAUUAUUUUUCCUACCAUCACACUACUGCAUUCCAUCAUAUCUCAUUGGUUGUGUUAUUCAUCUCUUUUUUUCUUUAUUCUAUAUCCUACUUUUUUUGCUUCAUAUUCUUUCCACCCUGAGUGGUAAUCUUCCUCAAUUCAUUACAUGGAGGAUAGUCAUAUCAUUUCCACUAUCUAUCUUAUGGACACUGAUUUAGAGAUCUUUAGUUUGAGAAGGUCAUCUCGUUAGAGAGAGUUUGUUACUUUAGCCCUUGAGAGUAUGUCUAUCCAUUAUAGACAUCAUCUUUAGGGUUCAUUUGUUUAUGUUCAAGGUAUGUGCAUUUGUAUAUAUGUAAAAUAAUAAUAAUAAUAAUAAUAAUAAUAAUAAUAAUAAUAAUAAUAAUAAUAAUAAAGUACAUGUGUGUAUGUGCAUAGUAUUCUCCAUCAUCGAGCGUGUAUAUUGAUAUCUGAGGGUCAUUUUAUCGAGUAUGUUUGUUGUUGAGAGUUUGUAUGUGAGCUUUCUGAGAUCCUAUUUUCUUUGUGUUCACUUUGUCUUUGAGAGUGAGAUGAGUGGCCUUCUCCUAAGGGCUCUGGGUCAUUGUCUUUUCCAUCAUUACAUUAAUUGUUGAUGUGACUUCACUCCAUGUUUGAUUUGAGUUUAUCAUCACUUUUCUUCAUAUAUUCAUCGUUUCGCUAUCAUCAUCGUCAUUGAUUGUGAUUCAUCCUAUUCACUUCACCCAUUUGUUUCUUUUCUUACACUAACCUAUUCCAAGUUUGAUAUUUUCCUUGCAUCAUUCUUCUGUAUCUCAUUAUCAGUUUGAUUUGCCUUAUUGUCUCAUUAUUGAUAUUAUGUUCACAUUGGGCACCCUCAAGUCCAUGGCUCACAAGCUUUUCUAUACAUGUUGUAUUUUAUACAUGAGGACAUGAGUUUUUUAUUGUUGGGUAUUUAGGCCUAGUUUCUCUUUGUUUCUAUUACCUUAUCAACCUAGCCUGCGUUACGUCUCGUGUCUUAAGACCACCUGAGACCAUGGGAUCAGAUGUCGUCUUCGACAGCCCUUACUUGGACAAGUAUUUGAGAUUUGGUUGAUAUUUAGAUAUCUUCAUGCUUCUUCUUUUGGGAGACGUCUCUUUGACAUUUGGACCUGAUUCAGUUGUGGAUAUGGAUGACCGGGAUUGCACAUUUGAUGAUGGAUGAUAUGAUGUUGUCUGAUUUUUCUGAUCUACCACACAUCAAGUGUCAUACUGGGGCAUAUUCUGUUUUGAUUGAGAUCUAUAGAUCUUCAUGGAUUUGUAUGAUCAUCUCCACCUAUGAGAUGCAUGUUGAGUCGAUGAUAUAUUGUCGUCUUAUCAUGAUCCCCUAGUAGAGUUUCUCUUGAGCUAUCCAGUCAGGCCCACACUUUUCGUUAUUUAGAUGUCAUCGUACUUCUUCUUCUAAGAGACACCUUGUUUGAUCAUUAGAUUCGAUUCAGCUAUGGAUUUGGAUAACUGAGAUCACACAUUUGAUGAUGGAUGAUUUGAUAUUGUCCGAUUUUUCGACCUACCGCACAUUUGAUGUCAUACUGGGGCAUAUUCUGUUUCGGUUGAGAUUCAUAGAUUUUCAUGGAUUUGCAUGAUCACCCCUAUUUACGAGAUGCACGCCAAGACGAUGACCUAUUUGCUAUCUUAUCAUGAUCCCCUAGUGCAAUCUCUUUUGAGUCAUCCAGUCAGGCCCACACUUUUUAGCAUUCAGAUGUCAUCAUGCUUUCUUCUGGGAGAUGCCCUUUUGACGCUUAGAUUCGAUUCAAUUAUGGAUGUGGAUGACCAGGAUUACACAUUUGAUGAUGGAUGAUUUGAUGUCAUUUGAUUUUCCAACCUAUCAUACAUUUGAUGCUAUACUAGGGCAUAUUCCGUUUCGGUUGAGAUUUAUAGAUCUUUACGGAGUUGCAUGAUCACCCCCACUUACUAGAUGCAUGCAUAGACGAUGACUUGUCGUUAUUUUAUCAUGAUCCCUCAGUGGAACAUCUCUUGAGCCAUCCAGUCAGGCCUGCACUUUUCGAUAUUUAGAUGUCAUCAUCAUUUUUCUUCUAGGAUAUGUCUCUUUGAUCGAUGGGCCCGAUUCAGUUAUGGAUGUGGAUGAUCAGGAUUACAUAUUUGAUGAUGGAUGAUUUGAGGUCAUUUGAUUUUUUUUGACCUAUCACACAUCUGGUUCCAUAUUGGGGCAUAUUUCCUCUUCGGUUGAGAUUUGUGGAUCUCCAUUAAUUGGCAUGGUUCAUCUCCAGUUAGGAAAUACGCGUCGGGUUGAUGAUUUGCUUUCAUUUUGUCUUAAUUCUCUAGUGGAGUCUUUCUUAAGUCAUUCAAUCAAGCUCGUACUUUCUAAUAUUGUCGUGAUUCUUGGAUGGAGUUAUCUUAGAUGCACAACCUCUCAUAUCAUCAUUUUAGUGGAGUACAUGUCAGAUCUCUUAUACAUCCCCAUUGAGUUAUUCUUGAGUUAUCAAGAUAGACUGGAUGCCCUAGUUGCUAUACUGGGGCAUAUUUCCCUCUUUUAGCUGUGGAGAUGAUUGUUUUCUCACAAACCUAUUACAGUCUUCAUCACUCGGCCGAGGGAUAUUUAUUUGCAUUACUAGCCACAAUUUUGAUGAUUUUUGCCAAGAUGAACUUUAGAGGAGCACAACCUUUUGGGUUUUGAUUGUCCCACCAUCCAUGACUCUUAAGUAAAUCAUUGUGUUGAGGUCACAGUAGUUACCCCAGCAGACUAUUCUCUUAAGACUCCCUAGUUGAUCAUUCAUUUGAGAUGAUGAUGGACUCCUCUAGCAAAGCAUUUUGAGUUAAAGGCGUCUGACUUAUUGUGACACAUCAUCAGGUCUCAUGAUUUAGUUAGAUGGAUUGUGAGGUCGUACUUAUAGUCGAUAUGACUAGUCCGACUCGCUAGCAGAGCCUCUUUUGAGACUCAUGGAGUCUCUUUCAGACCAUUUCAACGGAUUGAGAGUUGUGGCGGCACGCUACACUGGGGCAUAUUUCUCUCUCAUCAUUUCCUUGCAGCUAUGGUGUUCAAAGCCACCAUCUCCUUACAGUUCGGUAUUCAGAGCUGUCAUUUCCUCGUAGCUUGGCAUUCAGAGCCAUAGUCUAUUCUCAGUUACGACGUUCAGAGUCGUCCUCACAGUUUGGCGUUCAAAUCCAUUAUCUCUUUUCAGUUUAGCGUCCAGAGUAACGUUUUCAGCUUGGUGUUCAGAGCCACACCUUUGGUUUGACAUUCAGAGCCACCAUCUCGUUUUCAGUUUGGCGUUCAGAGCCACCAUUCUCAUUAUAGUUCAGCGUUCAAAGCCACCAUCUCUUCUUAGUUACGACGUUCAGAGUCACUAUCUCUUUUCAGUUUCAGCGUUUAGAGCCACCAUCUCAUUCUCAGUUUCGGCGUUCAAAGCUACCAUCUCAUUUUCAGUUUGGCGUUCAAAACUGCCAUCUCUUUACAGGUUGGAGUUCAAAGUCGCCAUAUCUUCUCAAUUACGACAUUCAAAGUCGUCUUUCAUAGUUUGGUGUUCAAAGUCACCAUUUCUUCUCAAUUUCGGCGUUCAGAGCCACCAUCUCUUUUCAGUUUGGCAUUCAAAGCCACCAUCCCUUUUCAGUUUGGGCGAUAAAAGACACCAUCUCUUUUCAGUUUGGCGUUCAGAGCCACCAUCACUUCUUAGUUAUGUCGUUCAGAGCCGCCAUAUCUUCUCAAUUAUGACAUUCAGAGUUGUCCUUCACAGUUUGGCGUUCAGAGCCAUCGUCUUUUCUAAGUUUCGGCAUUCAAAGCCACCAUCUUUUCUCAGUUUGGCCGUUCAGAGCCACCAUCUCUUUUCAGUUUGGCGUUCAGAGCCACUAUCCCUUCUUAGUUACGGAGUUCAGAGUCGCCAUAUCUUCUAAGUUACGACAUUCAGAGUCGCCCUUCAUAGUUUGGCGUUAGAGCCACUAUUCCUUCAUAGUUUCGACGUUCAAAGCCACCAUCUCUUUUCAAUUUGGGCAUUCAGAGCCACCAUCUCUUUUCAUUUUGGUGUUCAAAGCCACCAUUCCUUCUUAGUUUUGGCGUUCAAAGCCACCAUCUAUUCUUAGUUACGACGUUUAGAGUCGUUCUUCUCAGUUCGGUGUUCAGAGCCACCAUCUCUUCUCAGUUUCGACGUUCAAAGCCACCAUCUCUUCUCAAUUUCUGCGUUCAAAGUCACCAUCCCUUUUUAGUUUGGGUGUUCAGAGCCACCAUCUCUUUUCAGUUUGGCGUUCAGAGCCACAAUCCUUUCUUAGUUACAGCAUUCAGAGCCAUCAUAUCUUCUCAGUUACGACAUUCAGAGUCGUCAUUCAUAGUUUGGCGUUCAGAGCCAUUAUCUCUUCUCAGUUUCGGCGUUUAGAGCCAACAUCUCUUCUCAUUUUGGCAUUCAAAGAUGCAUCUUCAGUUUGGCGUUCAGAGCCGUAUUUUCAUUUUGUUGUUCAGAGCCGCAAUUCCAUUUUGACGUUCGGAGCCUCUUCUUAGUUACGGUGUUCAAAGUCAUCCCAUCAUAGUUUGGCGUUCAGAGUCACCGUCUCUUCUCAGUUUCGACGUUUAGAGCCACCAUAUUUUCUCAGUUUGAGCGUUCAGAGCCACCAUCUCUUUUCAGUUUUGCGUUCAGAGCCACCAUCCCUUCUUAGUUAUGGCGUUUAGAGCCGCCAUAUCUUCUUAGUUACAACAUUCAGAGUCGUCCUUCACAUUUUGGUGUUCAGAGCCAUUAUCUCUUUUCAAUUUCGACGUUCAAAGCCACCAGCUCUUCUCAUUUCGAUGUUCAUAGCCACAUCUUCAAUUUGGCGUUCAGAGCUGCAUUUUCAUUUUAGCGUUCAGAGCCGCAUUUCCAUUUUGACGUUCGGAGUCAUAUUAUCAGUUUUGGCCUUCAUUGCCACCUUUUCGACAUUCAGAGCCAUCAUCCCUUCUUAGUUUGGUGUUCAAAGCCACUAUCUCUCCUCAGUUUCGGCGUUCAGAGUCACCAUCUCUUCCAAUUUCAGGCGUUCAGAGCCACUAUCUCUCCAUAGUUUGGCGUUCAGAGCCACCAUCUCCUCUUAGUUACGGCGUUCAAAGUCACCAUAUCUUCACAGUUAUGACAUUCAUAGUCAUCCUUCAUAGUUUGGCGUUUAAAGCCACCGUCUCUUCUCAGUUUUGGUGUUUAGAGUCACCGUCUCUUCUCAAUUUGGGCGUUCAAAGCCACCAUCUCUUUUCAGUUUGGUGUUCAAAGCCACCAUCCCUUCUUAGUUACAGUAUUCAGAGCUGUCAUAUCUUCUCAGUUACAACGUUCAUAGUCGUCCUUCACAGUUUGGCGUUCAGAGCCACCGUCUCUUCUCAGUUUUGGCGUUUAGAGCCACCAUUUCUUUUCAGUUUGGCGUUCAAAGCCACCAUCCCUUCUUAGUUAUGGAGUUCAGAGCCUCCAUUUUUUUACAUUUUGGCAUUCAGAGCCGCCAUAUCUUCUCAGUUACGACGUUCAGAGUUGUCAUUCUUAGUUUGGGGCUCAGAUUCAUGUCUUUAGUUUUAGGCGUUCAAAGCCACUCAUCUCUUCCAGUUUCAGGCAUUCGGAGCCACUAUCUCUCCAUAGUUUGGCGUUCAGAGCCAUCAUCAUAUGUCUUCAGUUUGGCGUUUAGAGUCAUGUCUUCAGUUUUAAGCGUUCAAAGUUAUGUCUUCAAUUUGGCAUUUAGAGUCACCAUCUUUCCUCAUUUUGGCGUUCAGACCCAUUUUUCCUUAGUCUUAUCAUUCAGAGUCAUAGCUCUUGGCAUUCAUAUUCACUGGCAUUGCACAUCUUGCCUUCACAAUUUUACAUUUGUCCUUAUUUUCCUCACCUCAUUACCUUGUGCUUAUCGCUUGUUCAUCAUCCUCUUUUAGACUUCCCCUUCCACUACACAUGACACAAUCCUUUGAGUUCACGACACUUAUUUUGGUCAUGUUGUUGGUCACCCUACACUUAGUGUUCUCAUGUAGUUCACAUAGGGCAAUCCCCUUUAAAUGCAUUCUUUCCUGUACUCUAAGGUGGUUCAAUCGUUACUCAUCUUUGACAUCGAUUUUCGAGUCACUUUUGGAGAAAUCUUAAAUAGAGUCUGGAUCCCUAGUGCAACUUUAGAGGCACUCUGAGAGCUACCCUUCUCUUAGGAUUUUAGAGCCUUGAGUGAGCUUGUGUUCUACUUAUGUACCUUUAGGGGUCUUUCUUUUUCUUCAGUAGAGUUCACUUUAUUUCACUCACUUUUCACACUUUCUUUUCACUCCAGUGUUCAUAUUCUUUGCACUUAUGAACUCUACCGAAGAAGGGCAUAUUUGUAGACCCCCUCGGAUAGAAGAAGUCUUUCUUUUCUUCUGACCACCCCAAGAGUGGGCUGUUUUGGGCGGCCAGAUGGGAUUGGAAAUGAAAGAAAAAUAGGGCAUGGGUGAGCUGUAUUAGUGGCUAGAUGGGAUGGAAAGAGAAAAAAACAGAUGAAGCGAUUUGGGGAUUGUCGGGAAAGCUUAAAAUGGGGCAAGAGAUGUUGGAAAAGGGUUCUGAAAAAAAAAAAAAAAAAAUUGGGGGUAGCUAGAAAAAGGAAAAAUAUGGGAGUAGGGAGAAAAGAACUUGAGAAAGAAAUGAGGAAUGGAUACUAAGAGAGAGAAGGCUAAAACUCAUAAAGUUUUGUUGCUUGGAGGAUUCCUUAGGUGAGUUUGCUGGAUAUUUUCUUGUUCACCUUCAUUUUCUAUGCAUAUUGCCUUCUUCUUUUGCUAUUUGAGGUUUUGGCUUGCUCAUUUGAUUACAGCUAACAUAGUUUGCACAUGAGUUUUGCUGAUUUUUGGUUUGUUCAAUAUGCUCAUUAUUAUUGUUUCAGUCACUGUUCUUUGUAGCAUUAUCUGAACCCUAUGAAGGUCUGUUUCACUUGGCUUUAUUUGGAAAUUUGGUUGUCGUUUUUUUUGUUUGUUUCAAUAUGCUUGCCUUCCUCCCACCAAUCUGAGUCCCUUGGAACGAAAUGUGAAAUGUAGCUUUCACAGGUUCAUUUUUGUUUUUUUUUCUUCAUGCUCUAUUUUCUUAUCAUCCUCCUCCGUUUUCUGUGGGUUUUCUGGGUGCAUAGCAUCAUGUGUAUCACCAACUGAUGAGAUUAGAGAUUGGCUACUGGACAUUUGAUUAAGUUAAAGAAAGAAGGGUAGGAAAAAGUGUUUUUUUAGAGAGGCUGAGAAGAAAAACAGGGCUUUCGAUGUAACUGGUGGCGGCGAGGCUAGAAGUGGUGACAAGGAGGCACUUGACGGGUCCAGUCGCGAGUAAGGGAGAGCAAAAAUUGAGGAUGGUGGGUUAGAUUCUGAGGACCGGGAAUUCAAGAACGCGAAAGAGAUGUACAAAGCUGAAAUCAGAAAUAGAGCAAAUCCUCACAAGAAGACCAAAGGGUACUGUAAAGGCGUCGGCUACUGGGAAUGUGUGGAGGCAUCGAUGGAUCGUGUAUUGGGUGGAUACAGCCAUGUGAAUGAUGUGGAUGUUAAGUGCAAUGAAGCUUUCCUUAAAACACUAUUCUAUGAGCGGUUCGUUGAUGCUAGAAGAAUUCAGCAUCUUAUUGCCCUAGAUUGUGGUUCUGGCAUCGGAGAGUGACUAAGAAUUUUCUUAUAAGGUAUUUUAAUGAGGUUGAUCUUGUUAAGCCAACAUCACAUUUCUUGGAGGUUGCCCGUGAAACUUUGGCCUCUAGAAAGCUUAUGUCUUCGGAUAUGCACAAGGCAACCAACUUUUAUUGUGUUUCACUUCAAGACUUCACUCCAAAAGUAGGGAGAUAUGAUGUUACAUGGAUUCAGCGGUGUAUUAGGCAGCUUGCAGACGACGAUUUCAUUUCAUUCUUUAAGAGAGCAAAGGUUGGACUGAAACUUAGGGGAGAAGCAGACUGAUAAAAAGUUAAUGAGAUGAUGGAAAGGUUGUGAGGUGAUGAUUUCUUUAACUUUAAUACCAAAAAAAAAAAAAAUGAGUCCCGAGGGAUGCUGGAGGACAUGUCAUGACCUAGGCAUAGAAGCCUAAUGUGAUCAUGAAGCUUGCAGUGAUGGAAAAUGCAUUAAAGGAAAUGGUCUCAAGGGGUUUUCUAAAAUGCAUUUAUUAGAUAUUAUGGCUUUUUUUGGUUCUCUGACAGAAAUGGAAGCUAAUUGAUAUUCUUUGAAUUUGAUGAUCACAAUGAAGUUGCUACUGACCCCACUUGAAAAAAACCACCAAAUUUUCCACCCCUGGUUGUAUUUAACCACAUGCAUAAAGAGCUUCCACUUGGAAAUGGCCAUAGAAAAGUUAUUAUUGUUGGGGAAAACAACACCACAUAUUGCCCACGUGCCUUUAUUUAUUUAUUCAUUUAUUUAUUUUUAUUUAUUAUUCUUUAUCCUCACACGCCAAAGUUUUAUUUUCACAAAUUCUCUUUAAAAUGAUUUUCAAAAUUCUGGUUUUUCAAAUAAUCUUAUUUUCAUUCCAAUUUUUAAAUUUAAUUUUCAAAAAAUCUAAUUCUCAAACAAUUUUCCAAAACCAAUUUUCAUAAUUUCCAUUUUUAAAUAAUUCUUCAAAAUUCCAAUUCUCAAAUUUAAUUUUCAAAACUCCAAUUUCUUUCAAAAAUUAAUUUUCAAAACUCCAGUUUUUAAAUUUAAUUUUUAAAAAUCCAAAUUCUCAAAUAAUUUUCAAAAUUCCAAUUUCUUUCAAAUUUAAUUUCCAAAAUUCCAAUUCUUAACUUUAAUUUUCAGAACUCCCAUUUUCAAAUAAUUUUUUUUUAAAUUCCAAUUUUUUUAAAUUUAAUUUUUUAGACUUCAAUUUUCAAAUAAAUUUCAAAAUUCUAGUUUUCUUUCAAAUAAUUUUAAUUUCACUCUAGUUUUCAAAUUUUUUUUUUUAUUCAACAGUUAUUCAUUCUUUAUUAGGGUUUUAGGUCACCAAAAAUCUUGAUUUUAAUAAGUUUGCUGCCAUUCUCAUUUUGGCAUGCACUUGUAUAAAUUUUCUUCAAUUUUCAAAUAAUUUUCUGUUUCUCUUGAUUUUAAGUAAGCAAGAAUGAGUUUUUUUUCAUAAUUCCAAAAUAAUGGAAUUUGUGGGACUAAUUCAUGCAAGAUAAAUUGGGCUUUGGUGGGGGCCCUACAUAUGAUCUCUUCUGAUUGUCAACUGUUAUGCUUAAUGAAUAUUGUAUGAUCUUUGUCUUGCUAUUUGAUAUGCAUGCGAUAUAUUUUGUAUUCAUUAUUGUGCACUAAUCCCACUUCAUGAUAGCGCAUUACUACUUGCUACCAACGUACGAUCUCACUCCCACCUUAUUUAUUCUCAUACAUGAUUCAUUUUAUUAUUUGAUCAUUUUGGUAUCCAUUAAUCUCUUAGUUAAUUUUCAUGUUUGUCUCACCUUAUUUAGUAGAAACUCAUUUUUAGGAACUUAAAGAGGUGUUUUCGGCCUUUUACCGUACCUUCCCAAUAAGUAACCUGACCCCCGGAUCCGACUCGGUUUUUCACAGACCUGUUUUCCCAAAUAAGGAGUCACACUUAAGGUUUUUUUUUCUUAUUUUGUUUUCCCUUUAAAAAUAAAAUAAAAAUAAGUGGCGACUCCAAAUCUUUUCUAAAAAUCAUAUUUCCAUCAAAUAAAUAAAAAGAGAGUUUUGCCCACCAAGUGGGAACACGCAUCGUGCGAAAUACAGGGUCCACAGUUUGAUAAAUUAAUUUAAUGAUUUAAUUUAAGUUAUGAAGUAUAUUAUGUUUUGUAAAAUCAAUGAUUUAACCAUCAUAAAUUUAUAUUUCUUGUCAAUUUUCUUCAUUUUUUUUUCAAUUUUCUAUACUAAUUUUAAGGUUAAAUUUAUAAUUAAAAAAGAAUUAUAUAUAUUAUUUUCAUAAUUAACAACACAAUGUAAUACUUUUAUUCAUAGAUUUUAAAUUAUUAAUAAAACUAAAAUCUUAUUCAUUCCAAAAGUUAAUUUCUUAAAUUAAAGGUACUUUGAUGGAAAGUACACUUCUAACCGUCCUCUCUCCACUUUAGAAAUAAGCAUUCUAUUCCAUCAAUAAAAUGCAUAAGAUAAAACUUAAAAGUUAAGGGCUUAAGGGAGAGAAACAUAGUUUCUAUUAUGUUUAUUGUUUAGUCUCUUCAAUAAGUUUUUCAAAAAAAAUCUUACGAAUUAAAGGUAUGUCUUAUCUCAAUAUUGUGACUAUGAACAUCAUAUUGUUCUAAAAACCUUGACAAUUAUGAUUUGUGCAAAAUUAUGGAAUUCGGGUUAUGAUUGUUCUAUAGAAUUAGAGUUAUGAUUGCUUCUUAGGAAUAAAGGUUAUUAUUGUUCUAGAAAUUAGGUUUAUUAUUGUUUUGCAUAAAUAAAGAAACCUUAACAAUGAUAUCUUAAAACAUUAUCUUAUUUAAAUAUAAUAUUUAAUGAUAUUAAAUUCCAUUAAAAAUAAUAUCUUAAAAUAGAUUAAAUAUAUUUCUUAUUAAAUAAGAUAUCCUAUUUUAUCCUCUUUCUAUAUUUGCAUUCUGAAUUUUCCAGAUUAAUUUAUAUAUUUUUAUGCUUAAAAAUUCUUUUUCAUUUUUAUUUUUUUUAUUUUUAAAGUCUGAAUUUAAAAAUUAAUAGCUGUUUUAAUUAAUUUAUUAUAAUUAUAAAAUAUAAUUAUUCCAAUUCUAAUUUAAUCUAUUUUUAUUACUGAUCAUUAUUAGUUUCUGCUUUCAUGGAAAGUUAAUAUUUCCUAGUCUAAAGUUAACUUUCCAUAAAUGCAGAUAAUUUUUUUCAUUAAAUAUCUAAAACGUACAGAAGGAAAAAAAAAAAAAAAAAGGGGGUGAGGUAAGAAGGGAUGAGAAAGAGAAGCAAGAGUUGGUUGAAUUUGAAAUGGGUUGAAAGGCAGCCCAUGAAGGUAAAAUUAUUGGUGGGUAUACUGAUCCUUGGGUUUUGUUUAGUGGGUUUGAGGCAUCUCGUCAAAUAUGGAAAUGGCUUUCCUUUGUUCGUCGCCUCCCAAUUCAUCCAUCUAUCUGGCAUCAUCAUCCUCAUCUUCAAGCUCAUCAAAACCAAGACUUGUUCUGGUAAUUCCAUUUUUUCUUCUGCUUCUUACUUUGAUCUUAUUUUCAUGUAUAUGUUAUGUUUUUCUUUUGAUUCCUUUCGAUUGUGUUAAUGAUUGAUGAAUUUUUAGAGAAAAAUAAAAGGAAAAAAAAUAUUUCUUUUUCCCUUCUUAAAAAUGCCUUCAUUGAGAAAAAGUUGGCAAUAAAAAUAGUAGCCUUUUAUUUGGUCUUGGGUUUUUACUUCAAAGAAAAAAAAAAUCACAUUUGUUCAUUAUUGGUCUUUGUUUUAUUUUCCUUUUUAUUUUUAAUUUUUAUUUUAACAUUGUUGAAUAAAAAGUGAAAUCCCUUAUGACUAAUAAAGGAAUUGGUGAAAAUUUAUAUGUUCUAUGUCCUAGUCUAUUACCAAGAUAUGCAAUACCUAAUAUUGAUUAGAAUACCUUUCUUAAAUUUCAUAUAAAUUCAAUGGGUAUUUGAUAAAAUCUAAUAUUUAUUAUUUAAUAAUUUAAAUUGACUUUAAGUUAAAUUAUACUUAACUUAUUAAGUUAAAACUUAUUACUUAAUUUUUACUUUUAAAUAUUAAGAUUCAUUAAUAAAAUUAACCUAAAUUUUAUUCUAAAUCAUCAAAUUGAUAUAUUUAUCCUCAUAAAUAUAUGAUUAGGGUAAAAGAAAGUUCGGUAAUAAUGAAGGUCAUGGAAUAGCAAAGAAAAUCGCGGAGGUAAUUAGGGCAAAUAAGAGCAAAAAAAAUAAAAUAAAGAUGUGAAAUUAAAAAUAAAUUAAUUAUUUUUACUUGUUAUUUAAAGUUAUUUUUUAUUUUAAGUCAUAUCAUUAUAUUAUUUUAUCAAAUAUUCUUAAUUUAUUUAAUAAUUUAAAUUAAGUUAUUAAGUCACUUUAAGUUAUUAAGUUGGUUUACCAAACAUCCAUUAAGGGUAGAAAUUAUUGAGGAUCUCUGACCUUGUUAAAGGAGAUGACAUAAGUUUUGAGUGAAUUUUGAACUUAUGUUAAAAAAAUAUAGUAAACAUUUAUACUAAUAAUAAUAAUAAUAAUAAUAAUAAUAAUAAGUGUUUUUAUAAUAUUUUUGGUAAUAUAUUAUAUAAUAAUAUUUAUAAAAAAAAUCAUUACUAAGUGAUGAUUAGAAAGUACUUCAAGAAAUUAUCUAAAAUAUUAAAAAUAAUUUUCAAAAUUUAUCAUAUAUCUAGUUUUUGUAAGAAGAUGGAAGUGUCAUCAAGCUUUUUUAAUUUUUUUUUUUUCAAUAUCACUCCCACGUAUGCUAUUACAUGUUAUCAACUUGAAUACAUAUAUAUAUAUAUGGCUAAUGCUCUUAUUUAAGUCUAAGCCACGAGUAUAUUGAUGCACCACCUCCUUGAUUUAUGAAAUUAAUUACAAGGUCUUUCUUCCUAAUUGUCUUUGAGAACAGUUUAGAACAAAAAGACAGAUAACAUAUUUGACAAUUAAAAAAUAGAAAAUAUAGUACUUUUAGAUAAUAUCUUUUAGUCGUUUUAACUUUUUAUUUGGGAAUGAGCAAAAACUAAACAAAAAUACAUUUAUAGUUUAAUGAUAACAAAGAAAAUUUUCUUCUAUCUAUCAAUAGGGGUUCAAAUCCCCUUGAAAAUAAUUUUUUUUAAAAAGUUUGUAAAGUUAUUUUAAAACAUAUUUAAAAAUAUAUAAAAUAAGUUAAAUAAUAUUCUAGGUUCCCAAAUUGACUUUUAUUUUACAAAACAUUAGAAAAUAAAUCAAAAACUAUUUUUCAAAACAAAACCUAAUUGUGCAUACAAAUUUUUAUCUGGUCAAAUUAAAAAUUGAUUAACUUUAAAAAAUAAGAUAUGUCUUGAGCUUUGAAUUUUGACAUGCGGUCUUGAGCUUGACAUGAACUCUUGGAGUGUUUUGGGUUUGGCUUGAUCCUUCGUGUGUCUUAGGCCUAAAUUUGGACUAUGGCAUGACUUGCGAUUAGGUUUGGACUUUGGCUUGGCCCACAUUCAUCAAGAGCAUGGGCACUUGAUCUCAAAUUGAAGACGUCUUAAUAUUAAUUUUGAAAUUUUAAACUUGAUCUUCCAAUUUUCAAGUUUGAUUUUUGAAUCUUCCCAUUUGGCCCCCAUUGUAGGAAUACCCACAAUAUGAUUAUAAGCAUAAUUUUUUUUUCUUUUUUAUGUUCAAUAAAUAUAAAAAUAAAAGAGAAUUACAUAUGUAAUAAAUAAAAUACAUAUAUAAAUAUAGACAAGAUUUUAACUUUUUUGGACAAGUUUUGCAUAUAGGGAGGGAUCAACUAAUCCUCUAGAACGUAAAAGAGGAAAGAAAAAAAUAAAUAAAAAAAGACUUUGAAUGUGGCGUCACGACUUUUUCCCCCAUGGAGGCACCCUUCAACAUUUAUAUAGAGAUUCCUUUUUUUUUUUUUGUUAAUCUUAUAACAAAACUUAAUUUUGCAAAAUAAUACCAAUAUCUAAAACAUCUUAUACAAUAUAUAAUUUUUUUAUAAAAAUCAUAUUUAAGACACUUUCAAACAUAAAUUAUGAGUGUAGUUAAUAGUGAUUCUAGGCAGGUGGUAUUUUUAGUAUUUAGUAUUUUUAUUAUUUUUAAUAUUUUUUAAGUGUUAAAAAAAUUAGAAAUACUCCACAACCUCCUGAUCAUAUAUACCAAAUUUAUAUGACAUCCUGUGAUGACUUGAUGAGAAUAAUUUCCUGCUCUUUCCUCAAACUUUGUUUAGAAUGCGUUGAAAAGUGGAGGGGGGGGGGGGCGGGGGGUGUUUUUCAAAUUCAUGUGAAGGGCAAGUAGAUAUGCAUAUAUAAUGCCUAACUGAUCUAGUAUCGUCUUCAGGGCUUUCCCUAAAAAGUCAAGAGCUGACAGCUACAGUGAUAGCAGCAAGAGCAUAUUGCAGUUUCGAAGUAGAAGACCAUACUUUUACACUACUAAGCUCUGCUAUAUUUCUUUCAACUCUUUGGGUCAUUUAUAUGAUCCGCUUCAAGUUGAAGCCUACCUACUCUAAGGAACUCGACAGCAUGCCCCUCUAUUCUUUGGUAAUUAAACCCCAUGCACCCCCCCUCCAUCCCCUGGCUUUAUUCUCUCUCUCUCUCUCUCUAAUUCAUUCCCAUGCAUACAUGCAUGGUACUGUUUGGACUUUCAGGUGGUGCCUUCAGCUAUCCUUGCUGUGCUAAUCCAUCCUCGUCAUUUCCAUCACAGACUCCUCACCAGAAUAAUUUGGUCUUUCUCUUUCUACUUGGGCGCCAUCUCUGUGCUUCCUCAGCUUCGUUUAAUGCAGAAUGCAAAGGUUAAUUAACUAAAUUUGUUGACCCAUUAUCCAUGAGAAGGUGAAUUAAUCAAUGCUUCACUCUCUUCUUUUCUUCAACUCCUUUCAGAUGGUGGAACCCUUUACCGCAUAUUAUGUGUUUGCAUUGGGCGUGGGAAGAUUUCUCAAUUGCGGUUCUUGGAUCAUUCAUGUGAGUAGCUUUGCCACCUCCUUUUUCACACUACAUAAAAUAUUAUCAAUAAUAUAUUUUCAAUUAAUGUCAUGCAGAUUUAUGAGACUGGGGGACAGUAUCUAAUGCUCCCCAGCAACUGGACGCAGUUGUGGGUUCUGAUGGUUCUUCUCUCAGAAUUUGUUGAUGCCUUUAUCUUGGCUGAUUUUUGUUACUACUAUCUCAAAAGGUAAUUAAUUGGACUCAACUUUUCAAACUACUCAUCAAUAUCACUUUUCAGUCUUCAGUCUUUAGUCUUAAUUCUUAAGUAGCACCAGCAUCAUGAUCAGUGAUCACUAAUUGGUUGAGAGUUUGUGACUUGUAGUGUCAUGUACCAGCAACUGCUUCUGGAGCUCUCUUCACCCUCCUAUUCGCUUGCAAGGGGAAAAAACAUUUGAUGUGCCCUAUUUUUUUUUUUUUUGGCUUUAUUCUUUGUAAUUUUUUUUUCUUUUUUUAACUCUGAAUUUACACAUGACCUGGUGGAAUAGGCCAUUGGUUAUCCAAAAAUUUUUCCCUUUUGUUUUUUUGUUUGAAACUUGAUAAAGAGAUUAAAAUUCUUCUUAGACCUAAAACAGGACAAAAUACCUUCCAGUAUUGUGAACUAUGUGGCUUGUUUAAUGGUAAAAACAUUGUGCCUCACCAUUUUUAGCUACUCCCUCACUUAUCAUUGGAUUGGACUUGUGCAAUAAUUUAGAAAAUUUAUAAAAGAUUCUUCCAAUUUAUCAUUUCCCGAUCCAAUGGAAUUCAUAUGUGUAAGAAGAAGCCCUGUCAAAUAGAGAUAUUUUCUUUGGAACAUAUUUCGACUGUUAAUACGAGAUAUAUAUAUAUAUAUAUGGACCGCUACUACAAAUAGUACUACACCCUUAAUAGUGAAAUAUCAAUUGUUAUUGAAUCUUAUGAAUUGCGUGAAAGUAGGAUGGUCCAAAUUCGAGGGUCAAAGAGUUUUAUUCUUGAUGAAAAAAAAUGUGUAAGUUUAUAAUAUAAAUAAUAUGGUUUGUUGGGGAGCUAAUGCAAUGGUUUCCACUCACAUAUUUGUUUAAAACAUCCAUUAAAUUAUUAAUUUUAAAAAAAAAUUAAAUAUAAAUUUUACCUCCUCUAAAAGAUUAUAUUUUACACAAAAGUACUAAGAAUUAUUAAUAUAUUUAGAUUUUAAUAAAAUUAAAAAAUAAUGAAUAAAAUCUUUCUCAAAUCUAUUUAAUAUCUGUAUUGUUUUUAUUUUGUUUCUAGUUAUUAUUUUCAAUUUUAUUUUUCAUUAAUUUAAAGUUGGUUUCUUUUUCUAAUUUUGAAAUUUUUUAUUUUUGAAAUUAUUUAAAUAACAAAUCCUUUACAAUUAACCUAUAUAAUUAUAUUAGAUUAUAUACUUUUUAAUUUUUAAUAAGAUUUAGUUUAAUCAAAAUUUUCAAAAAAAUAAAAUUGUCUUCAUUUAAAAUUAUAAAAUAUAACAUCAUUUAAUAAUAUAUUUUAAACAAAAUUGACCGACAUACGGAGGUUACCUUGUGGGAAAUAAAAGAAAUAUACCCUAUAUUCUCUUACACAGUAUAUAAUGUUUGUUAGGAAUGCGUGUGACCUGUUAAAUAUUACAAGUAAUAUUUGGGUGGCUUUGCCAAUCCACAGUAGUAAUCAAUUAGCAACUAGGUGGUAGUGCUAGUCCACAGAAGAUUAAAUGAGUGAGUUGGAUGGCUAUGUCAACCUUCAUAAAUUUAAAUAAGCAAUUGAGUGGUUAUGUCAACCUAUAGAAAUGAGUAAAUGGUGGCAGUGCUAGUCCACAAGAAAUAAAAUAUGCAGUUGAAAAAUAAAAUAGCAAGAAAAAGGAACACUCCAUUUACGUGAUAAAACCCUUAGAAUGAGGGAAAUCUCCACGGGGCAAAGCCGAUAAAAGAAUCCACUAUAUGAUGAAAUUGAGACAAUAUAUUACUCAAGUAUUGCCCUUACUUGAGUUUCACACACCCCAAGAUAUGCUCACAAUUGUCACAAUUUUAUCAGUCAAUGUUCUCUAUGUGAAACACUAAUUUUUGGAAGAAAAAAACCACAACAAUUUAUUGGUAAGAAAAAGGGUUGUGGCGGUGGCGGCAUGGGGUAACUGAAGCCAAACAAUUUUUGGUUUCUUAAGAUGGCUGCUUGUCUACCUCAUUUAAUGGGAUGGACCCCACCAAUGUCUUGACACUCAAAAGAAAGAGAGAGUAGAAUAAAAUGAAAGUUAUUUGAUCUAGGAAAUACAUAGAAGAGGUGAACAAUGUUUCAACCAUUUUUAAUCUAAAAUUACAUGUUUUAAAUUAUUCUUUGUAAGUUAUGAAAGUAUAAACACAUUCAACUCCGGAAUACAAUAUUUUUUCCAUAGAAAACUACCCAAUGUGAGGAAGUAAAAAACAUAAGAGCAGAAAAUGUAGUACACAAUUCUACCUUAUGGAAAUUAUCCUUAAGUCUUACUUUUGGUUGAAGUUAUCCCUAAGUCUUGCUCCUGACACUUAAACUGCACUUCAUGUUCACGACCCAACACCACGUGUGCUCUAGUAGAUCUAUUUUUAACACUUGAGGUGAUGUAGAUCUCCUUCUCAAUUAAAGAGUGUGCAGACAAACGUUUUUAGAUUUUGAAGCUCAAAAAGGAUUGAUUAGGUUUUUUAAUAUUCACCUCAAACCAAAAACCUUUUUAGGCUAGGCUUUUGAAAGAUACAAAUACCUAGUGGACUCAAAUUAGGAUUUCUAAAAUAAAUCCAAUUAUAAUUGUAAAAUAAAUUCAAUUACAAUGGUAAAAUAAAUCCAAUUACAAUUGUAAAAUUAAUCCAAGGUAUUUAUACUUGGCAGUUUAAAAAAAAACAUUUUUGAAAUUAAACAUUCCAUUUUGAAAAGUACUUUCAAAAUAUUUUAUUCCCAUUAAGUUACUAAAUUUUUCCAAAUAUUUUGGUAACCAUUUUAAAAAUAAAUUACCCAUAGUGAGAAUUUCUAAAAAAAACUUUAUUAAUUCUUUAAUUGGAAUAUUGAUACUUAUAAGGAACACAUAAUUUUAUAAAGAUUUUAAAAUAAGAUAAUAUUUCCUUAACUUUAGAAAAGAGAUUUUCUAAGGAUUUUUAGAAAAGAAAACUAAAUUGCCUCAUAAUUUUAAAAAAUAUUUCUAUAAACAUUCCAAUGUUGAAUAAAAUUUUAAUUUAGAAAUAAUCUUCUCAUAAAAAUUUAUUUUCCAUAAGAAAAUCCAAAAUUACCUAUUUUGAAAAUAUUUCUCAUCACAUGCAACAUAAUCAAUAUGUAUAAAAAAAAGUAAUUAAUAAAAAGGAGUUCACUUAAUAUGGCCAAGUGGGCUUAGGUCACUUAAUCUUGUUAGGGACCCUAUAAAUACCCUCUAGGAGUUUGAGUUUCUGUCACUUUUUUCUUCCACCAUGCAAAGAGAAGAAAGAGAGCCCUAGUUUCCACCCUCCCAAAUUUUCCAUUGUUUAUGUUCUAAGAAAUGAGGUUAAGUUAUAAGGUGGAAGAUUGUGGGCCUACAAGACUUCAAAGGACAUUGAUUUGAUUCUUCAAUACUUAGAAUUUAAGGUUUCAAAACAUCCAAACAUAAAAGUUAGUAUUUUAACCAUAAAGAUCAAUUUUUAGAAAAUUGGCAUUGCAUCCAUUGCAUAUAUAUCUAAGAUGCCAACAAUAGGUAUUAGAACUUUAUGUUAUAAGCAUACUUAGAUCUUUAUUUAGGAUGUGUUAACCUCUUUUUUGUAGUCUUGUUAUUAUCUCAUAGCCAAAGGAUGCAUGCAUGCUCUCUUUUUUAUUAUUGUUUUUUAUGAUUGAAUGAGAUAAUUAUUUUUUUUCUUUGUUUCUUCAUAGAUCCGGUUGUAAUCUCCAUUAAAGGAGUAUUUCAAGUUUUCUUGUAAAUUCUUGAUCUUUUUUUCAUAAAUUGAGGUUUAAGCUCUAUUGUAAGAGGAUAGAUUUAAUUUCAUGAUAUAAAGUUAAAUUUUUAUCAUUUAUGGAGAGCUACAAGAGAAGAAUUCCUCAUUGAUUUCAAUAAAGAUUUGAUCUUUAUUAGAACAUUAUCUAUGAAGUAUCAAGGAGUUUAUUGGCUGUGGAAAAUGAUGAAUAUUUCCUUUGAAUAAAAAACUAAAAAAAAAAAAAGAUUCUAGAAAGUUUUUUUUUGUUUUUUUUUUUUUUUUGGGGAUCCAUAGUAGCACAAUGUCAUUGAAUUUGACUCAAAAUUGGUAUCAUGAGUUUAUUGGGUGAAGUCACAUAUGUUUUUAAAGCUUAAGAACUUAGGAAUCCAACGCUUCAAACAGUUCACAAAUCAGAGUUUAAAAGAGGGAUAUAUGGUCGUCUGAAGCAAAGCUGUGCAAAAGGUAUGCUAUUUCAAGAUUGAGUACAGGCUAAAUUCCUUUUUCUUAUUUGGGCUUGGUUUUGGGCCACUCAUUAGGCUCAAUUUGUGGUGGAAAUCUAGUGCAUCAUGAACUGAACAUGGAUGCAUAAACUUUCCAUUUUUAGGUUGUAAAAGUUUCUAUUUUUUCAAUUGAGAAAGUUGUUAUUUUCAGUAGCAAAAGUUCUUAAAUUUUUUGUUUGAGAUAGUUUCUAUUUUGCAUGCACAAUGGUAGUCGUAUAGGAACAUUAUUUUGGAAAGUUUUGAUGCGAAAAUUGUGUCAAGUUAUGAAAAGUUGAAAACCAAUAGCUCUUGUGUGCAAUUGGAAAGCUGCUUGUGCAAAAAUAUCCCUUAGACAUAAGAACUCUUGUUUAUUAUUUCAUUUUUUAUGUAUAUUGAUUAUAUUGCAUGUGAUGAGAAAUAUUUUCAAAGUUUGUAAUUUUGGAUUUUCUUAUGGCAAAUAAAUUUUCAUGAGAAAGUUAUUUCCAAAUUAAAGUUUUAUUCAAAAUUAGCACGAUGUUAUUAUUAAAUAUUUUUUAUAGAAAGAUUUUUUAAAAUUGUGAGAGAAUCUAGAAAAUUAAAUCCUUGAAGUUCUCAAAAUUAGAAAGUAUGGAAAAGAAAUCUUCUAAGGGUUUUUAGAAAAUGAAACUAAAUUAUCUCACAAUCUUUAAAAUAUAUAUAUAUAUUUCUAUAAAAACUUCUUUAAUAAUAACGUCAUUCUAACGCCAUUCUAAUUUGAAUAAAACUAUAAUUUGGAAAUAACCUUCUCAUGAAAAUUUAUUUUUUAUAAGAAAAUCCAAAAUUACCAACUUUGAAAAUAUUCCUUAUCACAUGCAAUAUAAUCAGUAUGCCUAAAAUAGGAAAAAACCAAAAAGAGUUUUCAUAGCCAAGAGAUAUUUUUGCAUAAGCAACUUUCCAAUUAUGCACAAGAAUUAUUAAUCUUCGAUCAACUUAUUAUAGCUUGGCAAAAACUUUUGGCAUCAAAACUCGCCAAAAUAAUGCUCCUAUACGGUUGUCUACUAUACAUGCAUGCAAUAUAGAAACUUUCUUAAUCAAAAAAAUUAGGAACCUUUGCUAUUGAAAAUAAUAACUUUCUCAAUUGAAAAGAUAAAAACUAAAUGACAGCUUUGUGCAUCCAUGCUCAAUCCAUGAAGCACCAUAUUUCCACCAUAAAUUGAGCCUAACAAGUGGCCUAAAACCGAGCCUAAACAACCAAAAAGAAUUUGGUUUUAGCCCAUACUCAAUCCCGUAAUAGCAUGUCUUUUGUACAACGUUGUUUCAAACGACCAUAUCUCCCUUGUUUCAACUCUGAUUUGCAAACCAUUUGAAGUAUUAGAUUCAUGACUUCUUAAGCUUCAAAAUCAUAUAUGACUUGCCCUAAUAAACUCAUGGAAGGCAACCCCAAUUUUGAUUCAUAGUCAAUGACAUUAUGCUACCAUGGAUCUCAAAAAAAAAAAAUCUAAAAUCUAAAAUCCUUUUUUUCCCUUUUUGUUAUUCAAAGGAAAUAUUUAUCCUUUUCCACAGCCAUGAAACUCCUUGAUUCUUCAUAAAUGAUGUUCCAAUAAAGAUCAAAUCUUUAUUGAUAUCAAUGAGGAAUUCUUCUUUUGUAGCCUUCCAUAGUUGAUAAAAAUUUAACUUUACACCAUGAAAUUAAAUAUUAUGCUCCUAUAAUGGAUCUACACCUCAAUCUAUGGAAAAGAUAAAAACUUUACAAGAAAACUUAAAACCCUAUGCUCCUUUAAUGGAUAUUACAAUCAAAUCUAUAAAGAAACUAAGAAAGAAAAUAAUUAUUUCAUUCAAUAAUAAAAUACAAUAAUAUAUAUAUAUAUAUAUAUAUAGCACGCAUGAAUCCCUUGGCCAUGAGAUAAUAUCAAGAUUGCAAAAAAGAUAUUAGCACACCCUAAAUAAAGAUCAAAGCAUGCUUAUAACAUAAAGUCUAAUAACAUAGAUCUAUGCAAUAAAAGCAAUACCAAAAAAAUGAUCUUUCCUAAACCUUAAAUUUCAAGUGUUGAAUAAUCAAAUUGAUGUUCCCAAAAGUCUCAUAGAUUUACGAUUGUCCACCUGGUGACUCAAAUUCGUAUUUUAGCACACAAACAAUGGGGAAUUUGAAAGGGUAGAGAUUAGGGUUCUCUAUUCUCUCUAGAUAGUGGAAGAUAAAAGUGAUGGAAACCCUAAUCACUAGGAGUAUUUAUAUGGUUUCUAACUAAGCUUAAGUAAUUUGAGUCCAUAUGGGUUCGGAUCACUUAAUCUAACCAAAAUUGGGUUCUAAUUAAUUAAUUAACCCCACAAGGUUAUCUAAUUAAUCAAUUAAACAAAGAUGUUGUUCACUAACCUAUAUGUAACCUUACAUACUUACCAAAAUAUCCUUAAACACUAUUGAGUUGUAAAUAAAAUAGGAGAAUUAUUUUCCUAUUAUGUUAGUUUCCUAUUUCUGUAAAUAGAUAGCUUUGUUACUUUCCUAUUUCUAUAAAUAGAUAGUUUUAUGAUUUAGGAAUAAGUUAGUUUCCUAUUAUAUCUCUUGUUUUUUAUUCCUUCUCUUGUAAUCUCCUAUAUAAACUAUGUAUAAUUAAUCUAAUAGACAAAAUUUAUUAUUUUUCAUCCCAUAUUUCAUGUCAUAGUAUCAAAGUUGUAGGUUUUUAAGACUUGGGCAUCAUUCUGGCCUUCAUCGCCAUUUUUCUAGCCUUCAUAGCUGGAUUUUUUUUUUAUUCACGUGUUCUUUUACCAACCUUCAUUGCUGUUGACUUUUUUGUUUCGUGAUCUGCCUUAAUUCCAAGAGAUCAAGUUUUUUCGUGGAAGAUGUUGGAAAAUUCAUGUACACCUUCACUCUCUUUUUGCAUAAAUGCCUCACACAGAGUUUAUGAUAACUCUUGGAUAAUAGACUCUAGUGCCACAGACCAUAUGACCUCCAAAUCUCAACUUUUCAAUACCUAUACCCCAAGCCCAAGUAACAAGAAAAUUGUAGUGGUCAAUGGCUCUUUACCUACCGUUGCAGGUUUCGGAGACAUAUACAUCACACCUACCCUUAUUCUUAAAAAUGUCCUUCAUGUACCAAAAUUGUCGGCCAACCUUGUUUCCAUUCAAAAGCUUACCCAUGAUCUUAAAUGUUAUGCUAUUUUUUCCUCUUCUUAUUGUGUUCUUCAAGAACAAGGCUCGGGGAGGAGGAUUGGACUUGCUAAGGAAAGGAGCGGUCUUUACCACCUUGAAUCAUCUCAGAAAACUAGUAAUAAUUUGUCGUUGUCUUUUCUCAGUUCCUCAAAUAAAGAUACCAUUUGGUUGUAUCACCUACGUUUAGGUCAUCCAUCUUUUAGGGUUUUAAAGGUCAUGUUUCCUCAUUUGUUCCAAGGAUUAGAUAUUUAUGAGUUUCAUUGUGGAACUUGUGAAUUGGCAAAACAUAGUCGUGUAUAUUUUCCUAUUAGCAAUAAAAGAAGUUCUCAUCCUUUUCAUUUGAUUCAUAGUGACAUAUAGGGUCCUUCAACUAUACCUAAUGUUUCUGGGGCUUGUUGGUUUAUAUCCUUAAUUGAUGACUGCACUUGGGUUACAUGGAUCUUUCCUCUUAAACAAAAAUCUGAUGUUAGCAUUGUUAUACCUAAUUUCCACUCAAUGGCUCAAAACUAAUUUGGGGUUAAAAUAAAAGGCUUUAGGACAGACAAUGCUAGAGAUUACUUCAACUAGACUUUGUCACCCUAUUUUCAAUCAUAGGGCAUUCUCCAUGACUCAUCAUGUGUUAACAUACCCCAACAAAAUGGGGUAGCCGAGAGGAAAAAUGGGCAUUUACUCAAAACAACCAUAGUCUUACUCUUUCAAGGGAAUGUUCCUAAGUUCUAUUGGGGGGAAGUUGUUCUUACUACCACAUACAUGAUAAAUAGAAUUCCCUCACGAGUGUUAGACAACAAAAGCCCCGUAGAGAUACUUAAGAGUUUUUAUCCACACUUCAGAACCUCAAAUGGGCUCACUCCUAGGGUUUUUGGGUGCACUACAUUUGUUCAUGUCCACAACCAACAUAGAGAUAAGCUAGACCCUCGAGCCAUAAAAUGUGUCUUCCUUGGUUACUCAUCCACUAAAAAAGGAUACAAGUGUUAUAAUCCCUCAGCCAAAAAAUUUUACAUCUCUGCAGAUGUCACCUUCAUAGAAAAUAAACCUUUUUUCCCUAAGUCCUCUCUUCAGGGGGAUAUUUCAAUGAUGGAAGAUAGUCCUUAUGAGUCCUUUGAACCUCUUGACCUUCCUCAUGUCUCAACCCAUGGUGAUGAAGAACCUGAGUCAUCCGAACCUGAGUCAUCAAAGUCAAUCACACCCGAGUUACCCAAUUUUACCACUGAACUUGUGUCAUCCCCUGUUCCAGCUAGUGUCACUCGCAAUUUUCCAUAGGUUCCUAAGGUGUAUUCAAGAGAAAAGAUCAUUCCAAAAGAAAAGCAAGCCCAAGAAUCCAACUCAGACCUUAGGAAUGAAAUCGCAGUAAGAUCAGAUUGAUUACUACCAAAAAGUGCUAUUUUGUAGACCUAAUUAUAAUGGUUUUAAGCACCUUUGAGUAGUAAUCAUAUUCAUUUAACCUAAUUAAUUCAUUAAGGUCCUUAGUAAUUGGUUUUAACCAUUUUGUGGCAAGUUUACAUGUUUUUAUCAGCUUAUGAAUCAAUUCAAGCAUGCCAAAUGAUGGAGGAGCUACUUGGACAAGUUAUGGCAAAGCUUUUGGAAGCUCAAAUUCAUGAAUAACCAAGCUUUGGAGCUCCAUAGCCCUUUGCCAAAGUCGUUCAAAGUAUGCAAGGAAAGAACAAUGGAGAAGAGGAAAGCAAAGUGAAAAAAUCAGAGGACAGCAGCUGUAGUCUUCUUUCGCACUUUUGGAGUACUUUCCGAAGUCCAUUUUCUACAUGCUAUAUACCAUUUCAAAGCUCUGGAAGUCAAGAAUCCAACGCUUCAAACCGUACAUGAUUUGGAGUUGAAAUGAGGAAGAUAUGGCCUUCGGAAGCCAACUGCUCCAGGUUAUGCGAAUUUCAAAAUUCGCAUAACCCAUGCGUGUUGCGAAUUUUGCUCUGUUUUUGCCGACUCCACUUUAGAUAUUUUCCUUUGUAUUUUGUGAUGUAAUUUCCUUUCUUAUCCUUGUAACUAACCAAUCACAAGCUUUUGCUUUUGUAAAGACUAUAUAAGGGGUGGAAAUCACCUCUUGGAAGAUAUAGAAUAUAGAAUAGAACGUAUUACGUUUGACACUUAGAAUAUAUACAAAGCUCUCUCGUCUCUCUUUUAUCUUUGCUAUUUUAUUUUCUUGGAAGCCAAACAGCCUCUGAGGGCUUUUCCUCAGAGGAUGAUUGGCUAAAACUUUUAGUUUCUCAAAGUAUGGAUGCUAUGUGAUGGCUUGGAUGCAAUCCCAUGGAAAUUUCUCGCACCCGGAAGGUAAGGUAGUCGUUUUUCAUUAAAGGUUCAUUAAUGCAAAGUUUGGUUUUUAUUUCCUUUGGACAACUUCCAACGGCCAAUACUUGAUAAGCUUUUGGAUUUCUAUCCAUUAGUUAUCUCCUACGAGCUAUUGGAAGGUGAGGUUUUCAAUUCCAAGUUUUGCAUUAAUCCGUUAGAACCAAUUUCAAUGGCCAUUGAAAGGUGAGUUUAUCACCUAGAAUGACUUUGAGUUGCCAAUAUUUGGUAAGCUUUUGGUUUUAGACCAUUAGUUAUCUCUUACGAGCCAUUCAAAGGAAGUCUAAGGUGAAUAACCAUUGAUGAAAUUCACUACCAUCUGUUUUGCCAUUUUAAAGGAUUAAAACUUGAUUUGCUAAAUCCAUACCGGUUUGGGAAGCAAGCAUCACCAUAGUUGCAACCUCAACGUGAGGAGCCUAUCCUGAGAUUUCCAAUUUGCAUAAGAGCCAGAGCAUAACUAUCCUAUCUUUGAGAAACUUGUUUUUACACCCUUUCAUUUUAGUCUUUAAUGUUAGCUUAGAUUAGUUUAAAUCUUUCUAAAACAUUUACAUCUUCUUUUAAAGCUAACAUCCAUAAGAAAAUCACCUAUUUUCCUAAUUUGAAUAUCACUAGUGUUUGCGAAAACCCUUCCCAGUGAACGAUCCUAGAACCACUAUGCUAUAGUAGCUUGGCUACUUUAGUAAUAGUAUUAAAGGUAUAAAUUUUGUUGAUACGCCUUUAAAGCUAAGCUACCAUGAGUCGAAUCAUAGACCCACCUUUACAUACACAACCUGGUGAAACUUUCACUGACUCAACAGACAACCUAGACCUAGACCUUCCUAUUGCUGUUAGAAAAGGCACCAGAGAAUGCACUAACCGACCACUCUAUCCACUAUCACACUAUGUGUCUCUUAAGCACCUAUCACCAGCCCACAAGAAUUUUAUUGUGAGUCUAAACACCACUAUAAUCCCUAACACUAUUUCUGAUCCAUUGACAAAAAGGGAAUAGAAGGAUGCUAUGAGAGAGAAGAUGAGUGCAUUAGAAAAAAAUAAAACAUGGGAGAUUGUUGAAAGACUGAAAGAGAAAAACAUGGUUGAUUGCAAGUGGAUUUUCACACUGAAAUAUAAGACCGAUGGAUCCCUUGAGAGACAUAAAGCAAGAUUGGUAGCCAAAGGGUACACUCAAACUUAUGGAGUUGAUUAUCAGGAGACUUUUGCUCCAGUUGCAAAAAUGAAUACUGUAAGAAUCUUGCUGUCACUGGUUGCCCACUACAAUUGGCAACUCCUAUAGUAUGAUGUUAAGAAUGCAUUUCUUCAUGGUGAUUUAGAUGAAGAGAUUUACAUGAACAUCCCACCGGGAUUUGAGGGAAACACAGGUAACAAGGUGUGCAAGCUGAAAAAGGCCCUUUAUGGGCUAAAACAAUCUCCUAGGGCUUGGUUUGGGAUAUUUUCAAAAGUCAUGAAAGAGUUUAGGUACAAAACAAAGCCAGGGUGACCACACUCUCUUCAUUAAGCACUCAGCUUCAGGGGGAGUAACUACUCUUCUAGUCUAUGUUGAUGACAUCAUGGUGACUGGAAAUGAUGAGAGAGAAAAACAUGAAUUGAAGCAAAUAUUAGUAAUAGAGUCUGAGAUAAAGGAACUAGGAAAACUGAAGUACUUCCUCGGUAUUGAGGUGGUAUAUUCCACACAAGGGAUUUUCAUCUCUCAACAAAAGUAUGUGACUGAUUUAUUGGCAGAAACAGGGAAGAUUGGGUGUAAACCAGUCUCUACCCCAAUGGAUCCAAACCACAAGUUGGGAGAAGUUAAAGAAAAACCAGUGGUGGAUAAAAGAAUGCACCAGAGGCUGGUUGGUAGGCUCAUAUACUUUGCUCACACUCGGCCAAACAUCACCUACUCAGUGAGCGUGAUCAAUCAAUUCAUGUAUGAUCCAAGAGAACCUCAUCUUCAAGCUGCUUACAGGGUGCUGCAUUACUUGAAAGGCAACCCCAGGAAAGGAAUUUUGCUCAAGAAAAAUAAUACUCUUGUUCUAGAAGUAUACACCGACGCUGACUAUGCAGGUUCCCUAGUGGAUCGAAGAUCAACUACAGGGUAUUGUACUUUUCUUGGAAGUAGGUAACAUGGAGAAGUAAAAAAGCGGAAUGUGGUAGCAAGGUAUUCUGUAGAAUUAGAGUUUAGGGUCAUUGCUCAAGGGUUGUGUGAACUACUUUGGCUAAAGAUUAUUCUAGAUGAUUUGAGAAUCAAGUGGGAUGGUCUUAUGAAGCUCUAUUGUGACAACAAGUCAGCUAUCAAUAUUGCUCAUAACCCUAUACAACACGAUAGGACAAAACAUAUUGAGAUUGAUAGGCAUUUCAUCAAAGAAAAAUUGGAGGAAGGAGUAGUGUGUUUGUCCUAUGUUCCAUUAGAACAUCAAUUAGUUGAUAUCCUAACAAAAGGGCUGAACAAUUCAAUGUUUCACAAUCUUGUAUUCAAGCUGGGAAUGGAAGACAUAUAUUCUUCAGCUUGAGGGGGAGUAUUGAGCUGUAAAUAAAAUAUGAGAAUUAUUUUCCUAUUAUGUUAGUUUCCUAUUUCUGUAAACAGAUGGUUUUGUUAGUUUCCUAUUUCUGUAAAUAGAUAGUUUUAUUAUUUAGGAAUAAGUUAGUUUAGGAAUAAGUUAGUUUCCUAUUAUGUCUCUUGUUUCCUAUUUCUUCUCUUGUAAUCUCCUAUAUAAAUUGUGUGUAUAAUUAAUAUAAUAGACAAAAUUUAUUAUUUUUCAUCCCAUAUUUCGUUUCAUACACAUAAGUGAACCAAGAGUUAAUCCAAUCCUCAUAAACCAUGCUAACAAGGUAUAUGAGUUCAAGCGGGGACCACUAAGACUCAUAGGACAAUACAACUAUCUCAAAUUCCAAUUUUAAAGUUGAUUCAACAUCAUAUUAUAGAAAAUUAACUACACUCUAGUACCCCAUGUAAUAUUCAGGUUUGUGAUCUACUAUCCAUUACGUUCAAUCUCUCCUUGAAUUGGUGUUUGUAGUAUAACAAAGAGAAGUUAUCGACCUUUCAAGACUACUUCUACUAUUCUUAAGUUAUAGAUCCUCCUAUUAUAUGAUCAAUUGACAAAUCUUAGUUUAAAAAAAAACUUAUAUCGAGUUCCACUUAAGGAACUAUUAUGAUCAUAAUAACAUAAAUACACCUCCUUAGAAUCACCUAAUAAGACAUUUUAUCUCAAUCCUAUGAGAUAUCAUGGUGCCUCUAUCGAAAAUACUUCUUGUUGUCGGUUUCCAUCAAUAGUAACUCAAUCCAUAAGGAAUAUAUAAUCACUUUACGAUCUCACUCGUACGUCAAAGCCACUACUAACAUAAGUACAAGCUUAGUAUUCUCUUAAGAUUAAGAGAAAAUACAAUAAAUCAACUUGAUGAAAUCAUGACUACUUGAUAGCCUUAUGUUAUGAUUCACCCUAGGUCAUGUUUAAUGUGUAACUAUACACACUAGUGCACUCACCAUGGAAACUCAUCACAAUGGCCAAGACUAAUCAUCCCUCCAAUUAGGUGGUAAUACACUAAAUCAUCUAAUGGAUUACCUAAGUCUAUGAACCAACUGUAAACAAGUCAUUCAGUUACAAAAGACCAAUGACUUGGAUUUUUUGUGUAACUUCUAAUGCAACAAAGUCAUGUACAAUAUAAGGAACAUUAGGCAAGAAUUAUUAUAAGGUACAAUGGAUAGAAUACGGAUGGAUAACAAUGAAAUUGGAAUAUCAUUAAAUAAAUAAUGAAUUCCAAAUUGAUACAUUAUUUCAUGCUUUUAAAGGCUCUAUCCUAACAAUUGUCACAACAAAAAUUGAUUUAUAUUAAGUUUGUUAUCCGAUAUCUUUUUCAUUAACAAAUUUUAUUCCAAUUUUGCUCAAUUUUACCUUUCCACUCUCAAUCAAACGUUUUCUCAAUUUUCAUCUAUUAUAUUUCAUUAUCUCACCUUUUGAUUAUCACCAUCUCAAUUUAUAUCAUUUUUUUUUCUUGAUUCCAUUAUCUUAGUGUACAACAUGUAACGCUACUAUAAUAUAAUAACUUUUUGUUUAAAAUUCUUUUGAUCAAAUAAAACUAUUUUUGAAUAGAAUAAUUAAAUUAUAAAUUUUGUUUUGAUACGAGGAAGUUGACCACAAGUUUGAUUAGGAAAACAUUUUCUAGUUUUCUUUUUCUAAAAACUACUUCCAUUUCCCACUUUUUCCUUUUUCUUGCAAAUGUGUUUGACUAAAAAACGUAAAAAUCAUUUUGAUAAAAAUGAAAUCAACAAAAUCGUGUUUAUUUUUUGAGUUUUCACUAAAAAAAAAUGGUGUAUAUAUAUAGUUAUAAUUAAUUGAAUAAAUUAUUAUAAUAUAAAAAUAUAUAUCCACUUAUGAUAAUACAUAGUAUAAUAAAUAACAAAAUUAUUAUAAAAUAUGAAAAUUUAUCGGAUUAUGGGAACUUGUGGAUGAUCAUCAAUAUUGGUGUAUAUCCCUUUGUAAACCCCUAUAAAAGAGAGAUACCUUUAAUGAAAAUUUAUUUCGUUCUCUUCCUAUAUUUAAUUCUACUUUUCUUUGAAUAUUUUUUGUUUUUUCUCUUGUUUUUUCUUCUUCUUAUUCUUUUAUUUUACAACAUGUUGACAACACGACACUCUAAGUAUAUAGAAAAUGAGAAGAAUGCUCAAGAUAAAUAUAUAUAUAUAUAUAUAGGUAUGUAACCUAAUUCUCUUCGAAUGAAAUAUGAAUAGUAUGCAUUGUAUUACUAUAAUUUUUAUUUACUUUAUCUCAUAGCCAAAACCUAUAUGAAUCAUAUUUCAUAUAAUUACAUAUUUUAAUUAUUUAAUAACUAGAAGUUAUAUAGAAAAAAUUUCAUAACCAGAAGUUAUGAAAAAUAUGUACAAUCUUCAUAACUGAAUGUUAUGGGGGUAUAUUACAAAAUUACAAAUACAUAGUUGGAAGUUAUGCAUAAGAUUCCUAAUUAUUUUUUAAUUAUAUUAUAUAACUUGAAGUUACAUAAAAUAAAAUUAUAUGGCCAGAAGCUAUAUAAUGAAUAACUCAUAGAUUGAAGCUAUGCUCAAGUCCAAAAUUACAAAUACAUAGCCAAAAGCUAUGUAUAUAACUCAUAAUUAUUUGUUUUUAAUUAUAUAUUAUAACAGAAAGUGAUACAAAAUAAUAUUGUAUAGCCAGAAGCUAUAAAAUGAAUAGUUCAUAACCUGAAGUUAUGCACAAAUCUACACAAAAACAAUUCAUAACCUGAAGUUAUAUACAAAUUUAAAUAUUUUCUUGUUCUCACAAAAUAAUCAUAACUUGAAGCUAUGAAAUAUAUUAACUUUUAAUUUCUAUAAUUUCUUUUAAUUAUAUUGUAUAACUGAAAGUUAUACAUGAAUAAUUUAUAAUUUGAAGUUAUGCACAAAUUUACACAAAAAAUAGUUCAUAGCAUGAAGCUAUAUACAAAUUUGCAUAUUUUUUUAUUUUGACAAAACAAUCAUAACCCGAAGUUAUGAAAAAUAUUGACUUUUAAUUUUUAUUUCAUAUUCACGCAUUUUUCAUAACCAUGAAUUAUUGAAACAAUUUUUAUUAAUAAUUGUUUCAUAGCUAGAAGUUGUGCAAAUAAUUUCUAAUUUUCUUGUAUAACCAAAAGUUAUACAAAAUAAAAUUGUCAAUGAACAACUUUGUAGCUAGAAGAUACAUAAUUUUCUUUUUCUUAACUUUGUUGUAUAAGCAUAAGCUGCAUCAUAAUAUAAUUGUCAAUUGUUUAAUGUUAUUAUAAUAUUACUUAAACUUUAAUUAUUCAUAACCUGAAGUUACAAAGAAAAAGUUAGUAAAUUAAUAAUUGUUAAAACUCAUAUAGUCAAAAGCUAUAUGAAAAUAAAAAUAUUUUAUUAUAAACUUGUCUUAUAUAGCCAUAAGUUACAUAAAUAUUAUUAUUCAUAACCUGUAGUUAUGAAAAUGAGAAAAUUAAUAUUCUAUGUACUAAUCAAAGGUUAUGAAAAAGUUGUUAAUAUGUACUUUUUUGUAGUUAGAAGUUAGAGAACAAAAUUGUUAACUAACAAUUUUGUAUA